CUCAGAGUGAAUGUCUGGUAAAGCAAUUUCCCUUUGGAUACACCCCUUUCUGUGAGAGCACAGACAUGAUUGGAGGGACAAUUAUGCUGCUACAAGGUUACUAAGGUAUAUAAGUAUAUUCUUAUUAAUAGUUUGUUUGCCUCUGACGAAGGUGCUUCUCUAAAAGCACCGAAACGUGCGUCAGGCGUUCUAUUCUUCUUUUUUACUUUCUAUGGGCAUUUAACACUUGUCAUGGCGUCUAGUAUGCCGCACAUGGGGGGGUGUGUGUUUUUUUUUAUUUAAUAUUUUAUUCUUUUUUGCUCCAUCAGCUGUCUAGUUAGAAUUAUAGAAAACGAGGUUUUGUAAAUUACCUCUACUGCAAGAUUUUCAAGUAGUUUAUCUUUACGUUUACAUCUUCUAUUUCCUUUUACAUUCUGACAGACUUAUACUCCAAUCUAUUUAACCAUAGACUAUUGAGCAUUCUAAGCAUCAUAGUCUCUAUGGAUAGUAUUUCCCUGACUAAUUUCUCACUACAUCCAUUAAGAGAUAAGCCUUCUUCAUUUUUUUACCUUUAUUGGUUCGUUUGUUUUUUCUUGAGUCCUUCUAUUUAGGACACAUAUUGCCAGUCCAUAAUAGCAUUAUACUAUAUUAAUUUCCCUAACAGGUUACUUCUUCUGUAAUUUGAGUUUUUCUCUUUAGUCAAGGAUACUGUGAUAAAGUGAAGGCAGAUAGGCCUUUUAACCCCAGGGGAAGUACGUGUAGUUUGUGUGUUGCACAACACAAAACACUGUUUAGUUAUGGGCCCCUGGGGUGGAGCAUUUGGAGAGAAGGGUGGGCCAAUGCUCCACUCCACAGUUUAGUGGUUUUCUGGGGAGACAUGAAUCCAGGCCAGGGUUUUUUGGAUCGUCUCCAACCCACUGCUCAGCUGCAGUUAAUGAGCUGUUGCAGUGGGAAUAAACUCCUCCCUGCUAGACAGGUAAUAGAGAGGGAUUGCUGGCUUCCUCCCAGGAAGCAGGUAGGAGAGAUCAGUUCUCUCCAGAUAGAGUCAAGGAGACUAGGCACUUGGAGUGCAGAAAGGAAGCAGUCAAUGCUGGCUUGGAGCACUGGGAGUGCAGAAAGGAAAGCAGUCAGGGCAAGGCUGGCUUGGAGCACUAGGAGUGCGGAAAGGAAAGCAACAGGCUAGCCAGCAGAGUGUUGCUAACUAAUAAGGUUGGUGCCAUAUGUUUUGUUAGUUUAACCCUGAUAGAGAGGGAUAUACAAAGUGAGUUAGUGCUCAGACGAGCUAGGUUUUUUGUUUAUAGGGUUUUCUGUUACAGUUAUGUUUUUCAUUUACUGCUGUAUCCUGUGUGGAUUUUCAAAUAAAGUGCCUGGAGUAUAUGCAAUUACAAGGACUGUGCAUGUUUUUGCCCUAGAGGACCGUGCUACCUGCUGACAAGGAUCACAAUAUGGUGGAGAAUGCGGGCGCAGUAGCACAUUGAGGGUCUGUGGGUUUGCCAGUCAUUCUGUAGUCUGCUUGAGGACUUUUAUUUAGCAGACCUGCUAAUCAAAUAAGUAGCACUGCACCUUUAAGACUGUUACCUGCUUGGUGCUAUAAUGGAGGACCUGCUGAAGGCUCUGGUACAGGCAACCACUGUACAACAAGAGGCAACUGCUAUACAACAAAACACCAACCAUUUCCUGGCUGCACAGAUUAAGAACCUGAGGGACGCUCAGCAGGAGUAUAGAGCUGCCCUUACUAAUGUUUUGCAGAUUGCCCCCGGCAGGGUGUGUGGGGACAAGGGACCCCGUAACCAAGCUACUGACAUCCUGCAUAAGAUGACAGUGGCAGUAGAAGAAGUCUUCAACAAGCUGAAAAGCAUGGAGGCAGCAAAGCAUGAUAUUGAGAAACAUGCAGAAGAAAGAGAACAGGAAUUAGAAGGCAAGAAGGAUGAAAUUGAGCCUAAAAGUAGUGAUAAAAUGGAAGAGGGUGAAAAGCCAGCUGGAUCCUCCAAGGAACAAAAAGAAGAAAAGUUAGUAAAGAGUCCAGCAAAGCUAAAGGAAAAAGCAGAAUUGCCAAGAGGCAGUGAUGGUGACACUGAUGACAUGCGCCAGAGUAAGAAAGGGCAGAAGAAUCAGAAAGGAGAGCGAGGCAAACUGAUUACUGAAGUUGACAAGUGUUUAUUUGAGAACCAAAAUGUUGCAGCUUCACGUGAAAGCCUCAAACUUGCUCUAAGUGGCAUCACAACAGAUAAAGCGAUCCUGGGAAAAGAGUUGGAAACAAAAAUAUUUUCACGCUCAGAAACUGAAUCUUGCAUGUUUCAAGAGAAUGCUGGAAAAACAUUUGAAAACAGAAAGGUACUGAUAAAUCUUCCCAAGGUAACGAAAGAAGAAGAGGAGAAUGACCGGAACAGUGCCUGCAGUGUGGAAAACAAGGAUGAGACCAUUAAAGAUUCCUCUGGACCGGAAGAUGAGACUCAAUCAUGUAACGAUGACACAGUGCCAUCUGCUACAUGUCGGGAUGUACAAGAGGCAAUCAGGCCACGGAGGUGCAAGUAUUUUGAUGCAAAUAAUGAAAUAGAAGAAGAACCAGAGGAUGAUGAGGAUUAUGUUCCUUCAGAAGACUGGCAAAAGGAAAUAAUGGUUGGUUCCAUGUUCCAGGCAGAGAUUCCAGUUGGCAUCUGCAAGUACAAGGAAACUGAAAGAGUGUAUGAAAAUGAUGACCAGUUAUUGUGGAACCCAGAUUUUAUAGUGGAAACAAGAGUUCUAGAUUUUCUAAGUGAAGCGUCCAGAAGGACUGGUGAAGAGAAGGGAAUAGAUGCAAUUCCAGGGGGAUCACAUAUAAAAGAAAACGAAGCCAGAGCUCCUGAUGUACACCCAAGUGAACCAGUUAAAGGUAUGAAAAGCAGACUGACUUGGGGAGUCAGAGAAGACAACCACAAAAGAGCUGAGCUUAAUGGAGAGAAGCAAAGCACCCCAGCUGAGUAUAGCAAUGCGCUGCACUGUUUAGUAGCCGAGGCUACUCAAGAAUGUCGACCAGCUGUUGAACAGUUUGGCAGAGAAAAGAAAGGCAGAGAAGUAGUGGCAAAACUAAGUCAAAAUAAGAAAGGCAAAGUAGCCGCUUCUGAUCUAAGCCAAGAGAGAGCGACAGUUACAGAACCAAGCUGUGAUGAUAAGAUGGGCACGUCCGCAGCUAAGCCAGACCAAGGCGAACGUCACAAAGUAGGUGACAUUGGCGUAGCAGAAUUAAAUAUUUCAAAGACAUCUGGUAUUGCUACAAAGACUUUUAAUGAUUUUUCGGGAGCCGUAGAACUUGAUCUGCUGGCAAAGACUACUGCUACACGGCCUGGGCGCACUGACUACCUGGAACAGCUGCCAGACUCUGGGAGCACAAUCAUGGAAUCAAAGGUGGAACUCGGAAUGCCUGACCGGCUGUUUGAUACCGGGGCUGUCAUGACCCAGCCAGAGGCCAUGACUGCGUCUCCGGACAACCCCGAGGGAGCAGGGAGACUGCCAGACAGCCCAGAGGAAAGCAUUUCUGACAGUGAGAGGUGGCCACUCAAGGCAGAGCAUUCGGAGGAUACCCCUGGGGAGGAAGCCAGGCAAAGGAGAGAUGAGCUAAGCCGGGAGUCUGGGCCUCAGGUAGAAGAACAGUGCUGCAUACCAGGCCAGGCCGAGCAUGAUAGGAUGGAGCUGGGAUCAAAGGCUGCAUUCAUGCAGGAGGAAGUUGCUCUAGACAGCCUCCCUGACCAACCCCCUGAGGAUAUAGAGAUGAGACCCAUAGCAUUAACCGUAGAAAGCAAUGAAGGUUCCCAGGGAUUCACAGAACAGAUGGAGGAUGUUGUGAAGCCCUUCAUGGAGGGACCGGUUCCAGUGGAGGAUGAGCUGGUGACAGAACCAGGUCUUGAAGAGGUUGAGCACCCAGCAAAUUCGUCUUAUGAAACAACUGGACGUAUAAGUGAUAUAGAAAAGUUAGUUACACGCAAAGCUUUUGUAAAGUUUGCGUUUGAAAGUAACUCGGACAUUGAGAGACUAUCAAACCAGAAGCUGCUGUGGAUGUGGAAGCAGAUGAUGAUUCAGAGGAACUUGGCUACUAAAGAGCCACACAGUACUGAUCAUCGGCCUAGAUCUGCUAGCAACCAAAUAAGCGGGGAAACUGGAAAGAAAGGACAAAAUCUGAUACUGAGUCUGGGAAAAUAUAAUGGUAGAACGUACCCAAAAGUCCCAUUACAGCUACGAGACCAGACUGAGAAACUCAGAUGCUUCAACUGCCACAUGCAUGGACAUAUUACAUAUAACUGUCCUGAAAGUGAAGAGCCAAUACAGUGUGACAUAGGAAUAAGGGCUCUGCAUAGGAUAGUAUUGCCUUGCUUAAAGAUGUGUAUGGUGACUGGUGGUGGUGUUACAGCACAGCUAAAAGUGGUGAUGGUGGUAGGGAAGAGUGCACAAGCACUAAUUAAUUCAGGGAGUGAGGCUACUUUGAAAAGUGUUCUGCUCCAGCCAGAAAAAUUUGGUUUAAGACAAGUGAUCGAUAUUGUGGGUACACAUGGUGACACCCGCACAUACCCCAUGGCAGAGGUAGAGUUUGUCACAGAGGUAGUAAAAGUUAGAUGCCCUGUAGUACAUGUAGCUCAAACGCAAGAGCGUAUAAGUAAGGCCAGGUUUCUGAGUACCUUGGACCUGGUCAUAAGGUAUUGGCAGGUUCCCCUGACAGAGAAAGCAAAGGGAAGGACAGCGUUUUCUACUCCCAAGGGGUUAUGGCAACAUAAAGUACUGCCAUUCAGGUUGCAUAGUGCACCAGCCCCUUUCUGCAUAUGAAUAGGAUACUUUGGCCCAACAGAGAGAAUGCAGCUGCCUACCUUGGUGAUGUGGCGAUUCACAGGGUGGACUUGGAAGCACACCUGAUGAGGGUCCAGUUAGUUGUGAAUAAUGCAAGGGCUGCCGGUCUGACCGCUAACACUAAGUGUUAUCUAGGAUUUGAGGCAGCUAACUAUUUGGGUUAUCCACUUGGGUGGGGGUUCCUUAAACUACAAGGGAACAAGGUAGCAGCCAUCUGCAAUAGGCCACUUCCUGUAACUGAGGAGCAAGUCAGGGCUGGUACAGCCCUAGGUGAUGUGAUUGUUCAUGGUUUGUGUUCUAAGGUCGCUCGACCCAAUGGGUCUGAGCUGGGGGGGAGGAUAUGUGAUAAAGUGAAGGCAGAUAGGCCUUUUAACCCCAGGGGAAGUACGUGUAGUUUGUGUGUUGCACAACACAAAACACUGUUUAGUUAUGGGCCCCUGGGGUGGAGCAUUUGGAGAGAAGGGUGGGCCAAUGCUCCACUCCACAGUUUAGUGGUUUUCUGGGGAGACAUGAAUCCAGGCCAGGGUUUUUUGGAUCGUCUCCAACCCACUGCUCAGCUGCAGUUAAUGAGCUGUUGCAGUGGGAAUAAACUCCUCCCUGCUAGACAGGUAAUAGAGAGGGAUUGCUGGCUUCCUCCCAGGAAGCAGGUAGGAGAGAUCAGUUCUCUCCAGAUAGAGUCAAGGAGACUAGGCACUUGGAGUGCAGAAAGGAAGCAGUCAAUGCUGGCUUGGAGCACUGGGAGUGCAGAAAGGAAAGCAGUCAGGGCAAGGCUGGCUUGGAGCACUAGGAGUGCGGAAAGGAAAGCAACAGGCUAGCCAACAGAGUGUUGCUAACUAAUAAGGUUGGUGCCAUAUGUUUUGUUAGUUUAACCCUGAUAGAGAGGGAUAUACAAAGUGAGUUAGUGCUCAGACGAGCUAGGUUUUUUGUUUAUAGGGUUUUCUGUUACAGUUAUGUUUUUCAUUUACUGCUGUAUCCUGUGUGGAUUUUCAAAUAAAGUGCCUGGAGUAUAUGCAAUUACAAGGACUGUGCAUGUUUUUGCCCUAGAGGACCGUGCUACCUGCUGACAAGGAUCACAAUACUUACAAGGAGCAUUAUAUUAAUAUAUAUAUAUAUAUAUUCUGUUUAGUGUACUGGAUAUUAUACAGAUUUUGCUGUGGAUGCAUAUAGAGCCAGAUCUAAUAAAGCUCUAGAUAGACAUCCCACACUGUAAAUAUUUCCAUAAUACCUGUACACUAUUUAGGUUUUUAUUUUUUUUAUUAUUUUCACUCUCUAGUCCUUAUCGUAUGGAGAUUAGUUUGAUGUUUUCAUUAUAGGAAUUCAUGUGUAUAUAGUUAACAUUUAAUCACCAUUAGACUACUUUAUAUUUCCAGGUAGCACAGCGAGUCACAUAUGCCCUUGUCAUUGUGAUAAGCAUAUUGUGCAUUUUCCUGUUUUCUAUAUAUCAAUUCUCUCCUGAUAGAAAAGGUAAACAGUUGUCAUUGAUAGUAUCCCCGUGACAGAGUGAUGGAGAAAGAGGCAUGACAUCUGCCUUGGGACCAGUUGCAGCACUAUCAGAAGCAUUAUCGGGCCUAGUGUUUCUGGCUAUUAUAUAAUAACACUGUCAGAGUGCUGCCAGGAGCCAUGGUCCUAAGGUUCCUAUUUGUUUACGGAUGCACGUGUCAAAACCAGGAGUUAUUCAACAUUCCAGAUAUGUGCUUCAUAAUACAAGGGCACUUACAAACAAUGACUCACCAACAUCUUGCUCUCUGCAGACUGGCCACUAAAAUUGAUUAAUAUGGGUUAAAUUCAGGCCAAACUGUUUCAUCCAAAUGCUGCACCUUUGUUACUAAAAUAUAUAGGCCAUUAAGCACAUUAUUCUGACCCUGAUUGCUAUUUCAGUGUUCCUGUGUGCCAGAACUAGCAUGUUUCUAUCUCUGACUCUGCCUUGCCCAUAGUUCUAGUGUUACAGCGUACCAUACCCAGCUAGUCCCUGACUCAGAUUUUCCUUUGUUUUAGUAUUACAGCGUACCAAACUCAGCUUGUCCCUGACUCAGAUUUUCCCUUGUUCUAGUGUUACAGCGUACCAGACCCAGCGUGGCCCUCAAUCAGAUUUUCCCUUGUUCUAGUGUUACAGCGUACCAAACCCAGCUUGUCACUGAAUCAGAUUUUCCCUUGUUCUAGUGUUACAGCGUACUUGACCCAGCUUGUCCCUGAAUCAGAUUUUCCUUUGUUCUAGUGUUACAGAGUUUCAGUCCCAGCUUGUUCCUGACUCUGUGUUUCCCUUGUUCUAGUGUUACAGCGUACCAGACCCAGCGUGGCCCUCAAUCAAAUUUUCCCUUGUUCUAGUGUUACAGCGUACUUGACCCAGCUUGUCCCUGAAUCAGAUUUUCCCUUGUUCUAGUGUUACAGCAUACCAAACCCAGCUUGUCCCUGAAUCAGAUUUUCCCUUGUUCUAGUGUUACAGCAUACUUGACCCAGCUUGUCCCUGACUCUGAUUUUUCCUUGUUUUAGUGUUAGCGCACCAGACCCAGCUUCUCCCUGACUUUGAUUUUCCCUUGUUCUAGUAUUACAGCGUACCAGACCCAGCUUGUCCCUGAAUCAGAUUUUCCCUUGUUCUAGUGUUACAGAGUUUCAGGCCCAGCUUGUUCCUGACUCUGUGUUUCCCUUGUUCUAGUGUUUCAGCGUACUUGACCCAGCUUGUCCCUGAAUCAGAUUUUCCCUUGUUCUAGUGUUACAGCAUACUUGACCCAGCUUGUCCUUGACUCUGAUUUUUCCUUGUUUUAGUGUUACAGCGUAACAGACCCAGCUUCUCCCUGACUUUGAGGUUUCCUUGUUCUAGUAUUACAGCAUACCAGACCCAGCUUGUUCCUGACUUUGAGGUUUCCUUGUUCUAGCGUUACAGCGUACUUGACCCAGCUUGACCCUUAAUCAGAUUUUCCUUUGUUCUAAUAUCACAGUGUACCAGACCCAGCUUGUUCCUGACUGAGUUUCCUUUGUUCUAGUAUUACAGCAUACCAGACCCAGCUUGUUCCUGAAUCAGAUUUCCCCUUGUUCUAGUGUUACAGCGUACCAAACCCAGCUUGUCCCUGAAUCAGAUUUUCCCUUGUUCUAGUGUUACAGCAUACUUGACCCAGCUUGUCCCUGACUCUGAUUUUUCCUUGUUUUAGUGUUAGCGCACCAGACCCAGCUUCUCCCUGACUUUGAUUUUCCCUUGUUCUAGUAUUACAGCGUACCAGACCCAGCUUGUCCCUGAAUCAGAUUUUCCCUUGUUCUAGUGUUACAGAGUUUCAGGCCCAGCUUGUUCCUGACUCUGUAUUUCCCUUGUUCUAGCGUUACAGCGUACUUGACCCAGCUUGUCCCUGAAUCAGAUUUUCCCUUGUUCUAGUGUUACAGCAUACUUGACCCAGCUUCUCCCUGACUUUGAUUUUCCCUUGUUCUAGUAUUACAGCUUACCAGACCCAGCUUGUUCCUGACUUUGAGGUUUCCUUGUUCUAGCGUUACAGCGUACUUGACCCAGCUUGACCCUUAAUCAGAUUUUCCCUUGUUCUAAUAUCACAGUGUACCAGACCCAGCUUGUUCCUGACUGAGUUUCCUUUGUUCUAGUAUUACAGCAUACCAGACCCAGCUUGUUCCUGAAUCAGAUUUCCCCUUGUUCUAGUGUUACAGCGUACCAAACCCAGCUUGUCCCUGACUCUAAGUUUCCCUUGUUCUAGUGUUACAGCUUACGAGACCCAGCUUGUCCCUGACUCUGAGUUUCCCUUGUUCUAGUGUUACAGCGUACCAGACCCAGCUUGUCCCUGACUCUAAGUUUCCCUUGUUCUAGUGUUACAGACUAUCAUGCCUUUGCAGGUGCAAUGGCUUACUUAGCUGAUUAGAGUGGGACACUGAGCCUAGAAUAUUGCACCUUUUCACAAUAUUCUAAUUUACUGAGAUUGUGGAUUUGGGGUUUUCAUGAGCUGUAAGCCAUAAUCAUUGCACUUAUGACAAAUCACAGCUUGAACUAUCUUGCUUUGCAUGUAAUGGGUCUAUCUCAUAUAUUAGUUUCCCCUUUUACUGUGCACUAUUGAAAUAAAUGAACUUUUGCACAAUAUUCUAAUUUUUCGAGUAUCACCUGUAUAUUGACCCUUGAGACGUUUAAAAACAAAAUGCCUAUUUUUAUAUGGCAUCUCCUUGGCUCUAUUUUAUUACCCUUCAUCCUGAUGCUAAAGGGAUUCUAGUAAGAAUAGAGCUGUGAAGCAAAAACAAUGGUUGGUUAGGGGGAGAAUGAAUAGAAGACAAAUAAUGGUUUAAAAUAUUAAUAGGGCACCAUUUAUUAUAUGUAGGGUAAAGUGGUAAUUUGACACAUCUGGAUGGCUUUCGUAUGGGGCAAGCAAACUGUAUAAUGGUCUAAAUGUUUUUUUAAGCAUUGCUUUGUUUUAGUAGAGCUUUCGCUAGUAAUAGUAAUAAAAUAUAUAUAAAUAUACACGGACAUAUCAUAUACCUGUGCAUUCCCCCACCGGGGCACUGAAAUAGUUAAGUUUGUUCUAGUAAUUUGUACUACUAUUCCAUACACUAUCUUUUCAAAUGUUCACAAUUGCAAAACAGUUGCAGUAGACACAAGCAGUAGUAAAAAAAAAUAGCUACAAGUUUGGAAACAUUUCGGCAGAUGCCUCUGAUACAAAACGGCUGUUGUAAUAACAGCUUUCACCAGAUAUUUAGUAACAAGGGUGGAAACAAAGUCUGAGUUUGUUAUCCUAAUAUUUUAGCAUAAAAAAUGUAUACUAAAAUAUAUAAAUAAUAUUAGAACUAUCAUAAAAGGCAAUAACAAUGAAAUCAAGGGACACUAUAAACAGAUGUUACGAAAACUACAAAGAAUUGAGCAAAUAAAAGCAUAGAUGGUUCAAAAUAAUGAAAAGCAGGGCAGAUGUCAAGGGAUAAAAGAUGUAUUAAAACAUCUAACACUAUAACACUGGACAUUAAGUUAUCUAAUAUGGCAAAAUAUACAAAAGAUCUUUUAAAUCAUAUAGGGGUGUGAAAAACCCAACGUGAUAUGGAUAAUAAAUCUGGAAAUGCAUAUUUCUCUGGAUAUGCAUGGUAUCCAGAGAAAUAUGUAGACAAAAAAAAUCUCCCUUUCAGACAGUCAGCUAAAUCCAUUAAAAACAGAGUGCUGCUGAAUAUACAAUUGAGGCAGAAUACAUAUUUUUGUUACCCUAUGUUACAUAGUUACAUAGCUGAAAAGAGACUUGUGUCCAUCAAGUUCAGCCUUCCUCACAUAUGGAUUUGCUGUUGAUACAAAAGAAGGCAAAAAAAAAAAAGAAAAAAACAGUCUAAAGCUCUUCUAAUUUUGCAACAAACUAGGAAAAGAUUCCUUCUUGAUUCCAAAAUAGCAGUCAGAUAUCUCAUUGGAUCAAGCAGCUAUUACCCCACUAAUUAGAAAUGAUACCCCUGUACAGGGAGAGCAGAAUUAUUAGGCAAGUUGUAUUUUUGAGGAUUAAUUUUAUUAUUGAACAACAACCAUGUUCUCAAUGAACCCAAAAAACUCAUUAAAGGACCACUCUAGGCACCCAGACCACUUCAGCUUAAUGAAGUGGUCUAGGUGCCAGGUCCUUCUAGGGUUAACCCAUUUUUUCAUAAUUAUAGCAGUUUCAGAGAAACUGCUAUAAUUAUGAAUGGGUUAAGCCUUCCCCCUAAUCCUCGAGUGGCUGUCUCAUUGACAGCCACUAGAGGCGCUUGCGUGCUUCUCACUGUGAAAAUCACAGUGAGAGCGCCGGCGUCCAUAGGAAAGCAUUGUAAAAUGCUUUCCUAUGGUUUCCCCGACUGAAUCUUGGCGCGCUCUUGCGGCGCGUCGCAUUCAACCCGGUGAAGGUAGAAUCGGAGGAGGAUGUCCGGAGGAGAGCUCUCCGCCCGAAGCGCUGGAAAAAGGUAAGUUAUUACCCCUUUCACAGGCGGGCGGGAGACUCCCCUGAGGGUGGGGGCACCCUCAGGGCACUAUAGUGCCGGGAAAACAGUAUGUUUUCCUGGCACUAUAAAUAAUCCUUUAAUAUCAAAGCUGAAUAUUUUUUGGAAGUAGUUUUUAGUUUGUUUUUAGUUAUAGCUAUGUUAGGGGGAUAUCUGUGUGUGCAGGUGACUAUUACUGUGCAUAAUUAUUAGGCAACUUAACAAAAAACAAAUAUAUACCCAUUUCAAUUAUUUAUUAUUACCAGUGAAACCAAUAUAACAUCUCAACAUUCACAAAUAUACAUUUCUGACAUUCAAAAACAAAACAAAAACAAAUCAGUGACCAAUAUAGCCACCUUUCUUUGCAAGGACACUCAAAAGCCUGCCAUCCAUGGAUUCUGUCAGUGUUUUGAUCUGUUCACCAUCAACAUUGUGUGCAGCAGCAACCACAGCCUCCCAGACACUGUUCAGAGAGGUGUACUGUUUUCCCUCCUUGUAAAUCUCACAUUUGAUGAUGGACCACAGGUUCUCAAUGGGGUUCAGAUCAGGUGAACAAGGAGGCCAUGUCAUUAGAUUUUCUUCUUUUAUACCCUUUCUUGCCAGCCACGCUGUGGAGUACUUGGACGCGUGUGAUGGAGCAUUGUCCUGCAUGAAAAUCAUGUUUUUCUUGAAGGAUGCAGACUUCUUCCUGUACCACUGCUUGAAGAAGGUGUCUUCCAGGAACUGGCAGUAGGACUGGGAGUUGAGCUUGACUCAUCCUCAACCCGAAAAGGCCCCACAAGCUCAUCUUUGAUGAUACCAGCCCAAACCAGUACUCCACCUCCACCUUGCUGGCGUCUGAGUCGGACUGGAGCUCUCUGCCCUUUACCAAUCCAGCCACGGGCCCAUCCAUCUGGCCCAUCAAGACUCACUCUCAUUUCAUCAGUCCAUAAAACCUUAGAAAAAUCAGUCUUGAGAUAUUUCUUGGCCCAGUCUUGACGUUUCAGCUUGUGUGUCUUGUUCAGUGGUGGUCGUCUUUCAGCCUUUCUUACCUUGGCCAUGUCUCUGAGUAUUGCACACCUUGUGCUUUUGGGCACUCCAGUGAUGUUGCAGCUCUGAAAUAUGGCCAAACUGGUGGCAAGUGGCAUCGUGGCAGCUGCACGCUUGACUUUUCUCAGUUCAUGGGCAGUUAUUUUGCGCCUUGGUUUUUCCACACGCUUCUUGCGACCCUGUUGACUAUUUUGAAUGAAACGCUUGAUUGUUCGAUGAUCACGCUUCAGAAGCUUUGCAAUUUUAAGAGUGCUGCAUCCCUCUGCAAGAUAUCUCACUAUUUUUGACUUUUCUGAGCCUGUCAAGUCCUUCUUUUGACCCAUUUUGCCAAAGGAAAGGAAGUUGCCUAAUAAUUAUGCACACCUGAUAUAGGGUGUUGAUGUCAUUAGACCACACCCCUUCUCAUUACAGAGAUGCACAUCACCUAAUAUGCUUAAUUGGUAGUAGGCUUUCGAGCCUAUACAGCUUGGAGUAAGACAACAUGCAUAAAGAGGAUGAUGUGGUCAAAAUACUCAUUUGCCUAAUAAUUCUGCACUCCCUGUAUUUUAUGUUUUUGGAAAUAUUUAUCCAAUUGCUGCUUAAACAUCUGUAGGAACUCUAAAGAAAAAAACCUCUUCAGGCAGAGAAUUCCAUAUCCUUAUAGUUCUUACUGUAAAAAAAACUUUAAUUUUCCUUAGAGUAAAUCUCCUUUCUUCCUGCCUAAAUGUAUGACCUCGUGUCCUAUGUAUAGCCCUGUUUAUAUAUAGAUUUCCAGAUUUCCAGAUAAUGGUUUGUACAGGCCCCGUAUAUAUUUGUGUAAUGUUAUCAUAUCCACUCAUCUCUGCACUUUUUCUAGUGCCAUGAUAUCCCUCUUUAGAACAGGUGCCCAAAAUUGCACAGCAUAAUCAAGGUGUGGUCUUACCAGCGAUUUAUAAAGAGGCAAAAUUAUAUUUUCAUCCCGAGAAUAUAUACCCCUAUUUAUACAUGACAAAACCUUAUUGGCCUUAGCAACUGCAGAUUGACAUUGCAUAUUGCUGCCUAAUUUGUUGUCUAUAACAAUUCCCUAAUCCUUCUCGUGGUUAUUCCUAAUUCACUACCAUUUAGGGUGUAAAUUGCUUGUGCAUUCUUGAUUCCCGAAGUGCAUAACUUUGCAUUUCUCUACAUUAAAUUUCAUCUGCCAUUUUAGUGCCUAGUCUCCCAGUCUAUCUAAAUCCCUCUACAGCAAAGCAAUGUCCUACUCACAUUUUAUUACUUUACAAAGUUUUCUCAAACUCUAAAAAAAAUGGCUUUCAAUGCCUAUUGUAAGAUCGUUUAUAAAAAUGAGAAAUAGAAGCAGUCCCAAAACAGAUCCCUGAGGGGCAACACUUACCACUUUUGUCCAGCUUGCAAAUUUACCAUGAGUGACAACUCGUUGUACUAUAUUUUUAAGCCAGUAGUCUACCCAAGAACAAGAAUAUUAAUCUAGACCAACUAACACACACUCUGCAUUCAUUACACUGACACACACUCUGCAUUCGCUACACUGACACACACUCUGUAUCCACUACACUGACACACACUCUGUAUCCACUACACUAACACACACUCUGCAUUCAUUACACUAACACACACUCUGUAUUCACUACACUGACACACACACUCUGCAUUCAUUACACUAACACACACUCUGUAUUCACUACACUGACACACUGUAACCGCUGGUGGUUCCCUUAUUUACCACUAUAAUGUCUUAAAGCAUAGAACUUAGUAGGGCUAACCAUACAGAUAUCUUAGCCAUAAUUUUAUAUAGUGUAAGAGAUCCUCUAUUUAACAUAUAUAAAUAAUUGAGAAUACAAUAUAAAAUAAGGAUUGUCUUGGAAGCAAGAUUGUCUUUUGGAUAUUUAUUAUAUAAAAAUAUAAAAUCCAUUAUAGCAGAGUUUAUAAGAUUUAAAUUACAUGCUUGCAAAUAUCAUUAAUAGGUUAACAUACCCUUCUGAACAUGUCAUCAUGUCAGCCUCUCUGUCAUUUUAAGAUGGAGCAGCGUCUGUCUCCAAGUCUCUCCUCUGUGUCUUAACAUUUAAAAGUACACCUAUUUAUACCUUAGGUGUCUCCAUUUUAGGUUACUGUAGUUCAAAUAUGAAAAAGUAACACUUCUUUUACUUUAUUCAAUUUAGGACCUCCCUUAACUUGGCAAACAUACAAGGCCAUAACUAAAGGGUGCAUACGUCAUGGAAAUUUUCCUGACUUAGUUCAAGAUGGCAUCUUAAAGUCUGAAUAUGUUAUCUGUUGUUUAUACUAAGUCGUAAGUGUACAGUCGCGGGAGAUUCCCGGAUUUGGGGAAGUUCCAUUAACUUGGGGUUACCACAGUAUAUUGUGUACUGCAAGUGUCGUAGUAUAGCCUUGAAGCUUGUUUAUGCAUUAUUGUUAUUGUAAUUCGUCUGGGACAAAAUGGCGCAAACAUAUUAUGCACUGAGGUUAUUGCUUAAAGAAACAUCUAUGAGAAACAAUAUGUUCCAUUUCUUACACCUUGUCAGUUUGCAAUAUCUCUUAAAGACAAAGUACACAGUUUAAGAAAUACAACAUUUCAUUCUAAAACUUGUAAUAUUUGAAUUUGCCCAUAACACCCUCUCCAUUAAACUGUGGGCAUUGUAGCGUAUUUCUUCCUUAAAUUAGUGAACCAAAGUUCUCCAACAGUCUUUUGUUUUUUUUGUGCUCCCAGCAUCUUUGAUCAUUGUUGUAACAGUAAAAUAUCCGUAGUAUGAUCUUUGCCUGUAAAAUGAGCAAAACAUUUGUCUGGGAAAGAAUUGAAAAGAACACCAAGUUCCAGAGUAAUAUAUUCUUGGAUAGAUCCAGAUAUGAAUUGUAAUCCAAAGUUAAAAGUAGUAAUUGUAUUUGUAAUCCAAAGUCUUUAAAUGCCUGUAGAAGUUUACAUUUUUUAGAUACAUUGCUGGAAAUUGUGUUUGUAGAAUACCCGGGUAUUUGUUGUUUAGUAUUGGUUGUAGAGUCCAGCUUUCCAAGUAUUUGGCUAGAAUUGGUCGCAGAUAUUGAAUCCGCAUAAUCUGUUAUCACCGUGGUGAUGGUGUUGGUAUUUGACUUUGUCUUUUGUCUUUGCUUUUUAUUUUGUUUGUUUUUUCCAUGAAACAUUUUUACACUGUUUAUGAUGUGUAUAGAUUGGAUACUCUCCGAUAUUCUUUUACGGAAUAAAUUAAUUGACAUAAUUUCCAAGACAUUGUCUUAAGUGACAUGGAUCCCAUUAUAGUAAAUGUUAUGUUGAUACAGCAAUUGAAGUGGAUUCCCAAGAACGCCUCUUUUUGCGGUGUUUGAAUCUUUGUAACAUCUCAGUGAUAGACAUCUCACUGACAUCAGGUGCUGUUGUGCUAAAAAUGUUAACAGGUAAAAUCUGUGGAAAAAUCUUUACAUUUGUUAUACUUUGUAUAAUAAUGAUAGAUGAAAUAGUAACAUAGUUAAUCUUUCUAGUGUUUUGUAUUAGAGAUAAACACCCUUGUAUAUGAUUUAGAUAUAUAAGGAUAAUUUGAAGCAGCAAAGUAUUUACUGCCCUUGUUCACAAUGGUAUGUAAAAUUACAUUCUCUUUAAAUGUUAAAAAUACUCCUUUAUUCAAAAUCUCUCUAUAUUUAAAAUAGUUGCUAAUUGGAAAUAUGACAUUAUUCAUCUUUCUUUGUCCUGUUAGGGAGAAGACAACUUAUUCCCUAAGUUAUAAUUAGUAAAUAUAAUAACUACAGUUAUUAGUGGCUUAAAAUACCAGAAACCCCCAAAUAUUGUCUUAGAAAACAUUUUUUUUUAUUUAUUUUAACCAAGAUCUGACAGCCAUUGUGGAAAGUUACAUUCGUGAGAUUGGAUGCUUAACAAUGUGAAUCUUAAUUGUUUAAGUAUAUUUACCAGCGGCUGUUGGGUGUAGCUUAAGAUGGUUAGAAUGUAUUAUUAUUUCUAAAAGUGAGUUAAGAAAGCACUCCGAUACAAUAUUGAAGGUGUUUAUAUUUUAACACUACCUUUGUAUAGGUGGUUUUAUGUACCUUUAACCAUCACAAACCAAAUAACAUUUUCUUUGUAUUUGAAAAACUGAUAAAAUAUUUGAUUACGUGUAUUUUAACAUAUAUAUAUAUAUAUAUAUAUAUAUACACAUAGAGUGGUAUGGAUGUUGAAUUUAUAUCUUUGAUAUCUUUUCACCAAUUUGCAAUAGGUGACCUAACUUAUCAAUUUCCAAAAUAAUCAUGUGUAUCACCUGGACGGGUUAAUCCAUAAUACUCUCUUACUUUCCAUUGACUGGCCUUAGCUCUGGCAGACUGAAUAUUUUUAUCAUUAUAAAUAAACUUUAUGAUAGUUGAAAAAGUUUCUGCCUGUCUGUCAGUUAAAUUUUAACUGUUGAAGUAUUUCACUUAUAUUAAUUGAUUAUACCACUCUGCAAACUUAAACGAAUAUUGAGUAGUUUCUGUUUUAAUAAAAACAUUUUAUAUUUUCUUCUAAAGUUUAAACCUUAUUCAUUAUUGCAGUUGUUAUUGCAAUCAUAUGAUCUUUAACUAUCAUGAUUCAAUUAUUCAUCUUGGUAAUUAGCUGUUAUGCUCUUAUACGUAUGUUUAAUAUAUUUGUUUGUAGGCCAGACUGCAGCUGCAUAUGGCAUUUUAGCAAUAAUCUUCAAUUGCGUUUCAGAUAUUCACAAAGUCUAUCCACCUUUGUAAUUAACACAUUAUGUGUUUCUUAUACCAUUAAUUAUAGUAUCUGUAUUAUAUUACACAUUGUCACUGACACAUUUCUGAUACAGGGAAAAAAAUAGCAUGAUUGCUUUAGUAAUUAUACUUUUUCGGUCCAUGCACCACAUUCCUGGAAGUCCAGAAUAUAGCAAGAAUCCUUUGUCGUUUCAUUCUAUGGAGCCAUUUAACGUUUUGAUGGGUAUAGUUAUACCAAAAGAGCAAGGAGUACGACGGUAGAUCACAUCUGCAACAGAACCAUUACAGAUUUCUUGUUGUAUCAAUGUCUCUGUGUUUAUGUUUACAGGAAUUCCUUGCUUUGCAGGUAUGUACAUAAUAUGUAGAGUUUAAGAAAAGCUGCAAAUCGUGCUUUAGUACAAGUGUCCCGUGAUGUCAGGUUUCUGAAAGAUUUUGCUGGUCUUUUUAUAUUCCAUUCUCUUGGCAGGGCAUCUGCUCUUAGUAGGCCGGUAUUGUUAUUAUUUAUUAAUUGCAUCAAGGUUUCUUUCGUUAAUUGAUGUGUUUCUUCCAAAUUCAAAUUCAUAUGCCACCAAAUGUCAUUGUAAAGUUCAUUGUUACAGAAUAUUGUUCCAGGAUGGUUUUUCUCUCCAGUAGGAAAUCUAUAUUCCUCUUCUUCUGAUCCUUCCUAUUAACCACUUUUUCUGAGUUGUAGGCAACAAUCUGUGUCUUGUACUGUGAGAUGCUUUGAUAGUCAAUCAGGUUUUGUCAGUACCAUUUUCCAUCUUGAGAAACAGCUGGGUGUUAACAGUUAUCAGCCUUUAUUUCUUUUUCCGGUCAUCUUCUGUCUGGAUAAUAGCAAUGUCCAGAAUUAGCAUAGCACUUCUUUUCAGCAUAAGAAGGCUGUUUGCGGUAGUCACUCAAUGACAAACUAUAUGGCAAAGUCUUUUCUUGCAUCACCUUCAUAGGUGCAUCCAAAGUCUUUCAUAAGCAUCUUUCCCUUCUUUUUCUGUUUUCAGCAUGCUUUGCCAUCAUCGUUGAUUCCAUUAUUAGGAUUUGUAAUAGUCCAAUCACAUCUUUCUCAUGUAUAAUCGUUUUUUGGAAUGAUCUCAAUAGGUUCCUUGUGAAAUACCAGUGUAGGUCACAUUAGCAAUCAUUUCACUGUGAGCUGUGUCUCUCCUUUUGGGAUGGUUCUUGGAGGUAGUCCUCACGAUCAUAGAACUUGUAUAGUGUACAGUCCAAUUCAGUUCAGGUGCUUCCUGCUUGUUAACAUAAUUCCAAUGCAGUUUUAAAACAACAGCUAGGGUUGAUAUUAUGAUAAUGCUGCAGAUUGUAAGAAGGAGACACCAAUUUUCUAGCAUCCUUUUGCUUCCAUCUUUGCAUUUCUUUCUUACUGUAUAAGAUAAUUCAGGUACAGUCUGUUUUCUCCAGAGUCUUUCUGAUAAUGAUGUUGAUGAUUCAUUUUUCGUACAUUCCAUAUUAACUGUGAAUGUAUCACGUCUGUCUGUUCAUCCUUCUCCUUCACAUUUGCAGGUUCAGAUGUCAGAUCACAAUUCAGUCUGUUAUGUGGCUAUGAUUCUGGUGGCAUUUCUGUCGUCCUCUGUUUAUCUUAUCUUGUCAUCUUUAACAGCAUCCAUUGUGUCAGUCAGUGGUUCUGUGAACGUCCUGUUAGUAUUUAGCAGGUUGUAAAAUAUCAAAACUUACUGUUCUCUGUUGGGUCUGAUUGUUCUCUGUAGUAAAAGUUCUCUGUAUCACCCUCUCCAGGACAAACUGGCCAACAGAAGGAAAUAGGUGGUGGUGCAAGGCGAGGUGGGCUGGAAAAAAAUUCCCUAAAUUUCUCUAAUAGAACCAAUGGUUCUAAACUCUCCCUGGUGCAGAAAUAUAAUUGUCAGUGAAAAAUGUGUAACAUUUCAUAUGGUGUCUCACCAUUUGUAUCAACAGGUAUGUUGUGAAUGCUCAUCUGUACCAUAGGAAUAAAUAGAUACCACUGUGUGGGGCAAGCAACUAGUAAAUUGGUUAAUAAUCAUUUAACCUCAGCAUUCUCCCAGACCACAACCCCACAUCUUUGGGGGUGGUUGGGGCACUGAAAUCCCAAAGUAACCCAAAUGUGGUUGCCCAGUUUUAGGUUUCCUUUGCAGUAACUGCAGGACCACCAUCCAAAUGGAUGGUCCUGGGAUUAUCAAAUGCAUACUAAGGAAGUGAGACUAGAAAACGUGGCAUCAGAGGUUGCACUUCGCACAGGAUAUAUCCAAGUAAACCUGGUACAUGCAUCAACACAUACAAAAACAUAUUUAUAACCAUGAGAUGUUGGCAAACUUUCAAUAUAUAGUAAUUCAAAAGUAUGUUGGAUAUUAAUAUUUCAAUAAACAGUACAUCAGUAAUGUGGCAAUAAGCAAAUGCUUAUGAUUACUAAACACAUGAAUUACAGUAUUUCCCAUAUUGUGACCACCAAUAUUCCUUUUCAGGAGUCAAAAGUACAUUACCUCUCUCUAUAAGAGCUUGUCCUAGCCAUGAAAAAGCUUUUAGGGCAAGUCCAUCUUUCCUCUAUAGGAAGAACAACCAACAUAUUACCUUCAAUGGUUAUUAUGUAAUUAACCCCUCUAAACGAUAGGAGUAUUUAUGCGGAUACCAGGUGGAUAAGGUCUGGAUAUCCUUGCAAGCAUAAACUCUGCAUCAUGACAGAGAGAUAGGGUAUGCGAUGUGAUCCAAUGACCACAGAAAAGCGUUGGUAGACACAUUGCAUCAAAGUGCCUGUUAAUGACCAACUACAUGAGGAGAGGGCCCAUGCUUUGUUAUAAGCAUGUCCAUUCACAUAUUACAAUGCCAGGCUUUCAAUUUGUUACCACAAAGCAAAAUGCAGUUGUGGAUAUAAACUCACGACGUAUUGUAAGAAAAACUGUUUGAAUACCAGACUGAGAUUCGAGAUCAGUGAACAGUGGACCAAAAUAGAUAAAUGAAAUCCUAUCAAUUAAUAUACUUUCAAUAUACUUUAUUUAAAUUACUUUAUUCUCUGUAUUAACUAUGAAAUAUUAAAGUUAAAACAAUAACAUUUAAAAGCCAACUUUUAGUGUGCAUAGGAAUUACAAGGCCGUUCAUAAUGUGAGAUAAAGAACAGCUUUUUAAAACCGAAUAGUCUGUGAACACAAGAUGACCUUGCGCUGAAAACUCACUUGCAGGGGAAAAAUAAACUUUUUUUCUUUUUCUUUAGUAAAUUAAUUAAUUAAUUAAACGUAGUUAGGACCUCCCUCAAAGUCCCGAUUACUUUGCAAGAAACAUUUCGUCCUUAAAUACUGGGUAAGUCUAUUAAACAGUGAAAUAGCAUUUUUACACUGUAUAUCAUGUUGUCACAGCUAUAAUGUGCAGUAUUACAAACUAUUCAUAAGUGUUGUGCCAACUGUUCAUUAAAAGCCAGUGAUCUAGCGAGCUAUAGAACACUUAUUUAUUUAUUCUUUAAAUCUCUGACCUCAAUCAGCAAAGCAAUAUUGUAAUGGUGUCCAUUGCAAUCUGCUGUCUUACUUGCUGCUCUUAAAAAUUCUGAAUAUGUUCAGAGAUUUCUUGGGCAAUAAUAAAUCCCCUAAUAAACAACAACUUUGCAUUUAUGCUAAACCUGCCUGUUGUAAACGUAUUCUGUAUAUUUCUUGACAUAAGUACUUGUACUUAAAUCUGUUUAACAAAGCUGUUUAUAUUGUGGUGUAAAUUUUUUUUUUUUAUUAUUAUUUAUUUUAUUUAUUUAUUUUUUAACUUUGCUUAUUUUUUAAAGAUACCUGCAUAUUUAAUUAAAUAUCCUUUAUAUGUCUUUAAGGCAUAAAAUAGCUGCAAAUUAAGAUUAUAUACAAAAAUGCAUGUUCUGGGUGUUCCCGUGAUUCCUUUUCUAUCAUUUAUUUAUUUUUCAAAAAAAAAUUUAAGUCUGGAAUCUGAUUUCUUUUGGGAUGAGCACCCCUCUGAGCCCCCCAAUUUCAGAGGCUUCUUUGGAGGUGACCACUGAAAAGUAUAGAUUCUAUAAAAUAGAUGUGAGGGGGCUUUGGACAGUAAUGUCACUUUAAUUAUACUUUUCAUAUAGCAGAUAUGUGAUAUGCAAUGUGAUUUAAUAUAUCAGAGUAUUAUCACUUUAAUUGACACUACAUUUUUUUAUGCAUUAUUCUUUAUGCAUUCUUCUUUUUUCUUAAUUUUUAAUGUCUGUUUAGAAUAUUGCAGGCUUUGCAAUAUCAAAUUAAUUUUGCAUUAUAUAUAUUCACAGUGCUCUUACAACAUAUUAUUAAAAUUAGCCUCUUUCAGAAUUGUAGAAUAUGUGGUGGAACUGAAUCCUCAUAUAUGAGAUUUGAAACUGUAUUUUUAUUUUUACGCUGUGCCCUGAUCAGUAUUUAUAUACAUAAUUGCGGCAGCAUAUAGCUUUUAAAGAAGCAGUUAUUUCACUCAUCAUGUGUGGUUGCCUGUGGACUUUUUAAAACCUACUUUUUAGUUUUUUUAUAAAUCCGUUUCUGGCUUUGAGAGAGCAGGCUGCUGAAUGCAUGUAAAUGCUGUUAUUGCCUAGUCUAUAUACUUUUAUUUAUAAACAACAUUGAUAUAUUGAUAUAUAAACAACUUUGAUAUUUAAUCUUAUCUUAUGAAAACCUAGUUUAUGAAAUUCACUGAGAUUACAUGUGUCUGACCGAUUACAGUCAGUAGUACAAUAUCAUUGUUCUAAUUUCCUUACUGCUAGUACGGUGGGAUAGUACCACUGAUUUAAGUAAGCUUUCCCUUUUAAAAUUGGUGGACUUUAAUCCUGCCAUUGCAAUAGACUAAAGACUGUACCUGAGUAAGCAAAGUCAUUAUGUGCAGGAAUUGUGCACUUUAAAUAGUAGAAUACUUAUGCUAUUCUAGUGAAUUGGGCUGGCUAAUUCACACAUCAUUUAGUAUCUUUUGGUCACAGUUAAAGCUGUAAAUGUAUUUAACAUUUUAUUUAAAUAAGCCUUUAAUAAUUUCUGUUUAAAAGUUAUCAGAGAUCCUGUCUAGUUACCAUUUUAUUUUGCCCUGAUUUAUCUUACAUAUAUAUUAUUUUUAAUUAUUUUAUAAAUAGUGAUUUUUGCAGAGGAUUUAGAGAAGCAAAGGAUGUAUAACCACCUGUUGCCCUUUUUUCUAGAAGGGUAGUAUAAUUUCAACUCUGUUUAGGAAAAAAUAUAAGCUAGUUAUCUUAUAUUAUAUAACAUAUAUGCUGCAGUAUACUGCAUUGUACUGCACUCAAUGUAUUUAAUAGCCAUGUAUUUUUCUUUAUGGCUGUAUGUAAUAAUGUUGUUCAUAAUUUGGAAUAUAAAACAACGACUUCUCAAUUCCUUGGAAUGUUUACAUGUCUCUGUAUCUCUGCAACCUUGGCUGGAAAUUCCAGACUCCAAAAAUUGUUAUGCUGUUAUAAUUCCUGAUUUUCAAUCAACAGCUAGCCUAACUGACAAUAUGGAAAAUAUCACUGUUUUCUAAAACCUUUCUUAUAUAGUGGACAUUAGAAUCCAGAACGCAGUAAUGCAAUAAUUAAAAAUCCUGUCUGUCUGUUGCAUGAAUGUUUUCAUUAAGCCAUAAUGCAAUUUUCUUUGCAUUCUUGGAAUUAGACUUCCUAUUUCAUCGCUCUGUCUUAUGACUUUUCUUUUGACAACAUUUUGCAUUAAUCUUUUUCCUGCGCAUGCAUACUAAGCAGCUACAAAGAGAACAUAUCCCCCUGUCUGAAAUCCACUGUCCUGGAACUAACGGGCUGUGCUGGUGUAUUAGGCAUAUCAGAGAGUUUACCAAAUAUGUAUAUUUGUUCUAUUAUGAUAUUAGUUAAGAUCCACAAUUUCAGCAUUGUAUGCUAAUUACAUUGUACCUUGCACCUGAACUCACAGUGCCUUGUUCACAUUAAAAUCAUCUCUAAUGAUGAUCUCUCUGAGUCUGGGCUACAAGUAGCUCAAUAGAUUCUUGAUAUUUCAAGACUUGUGCCAUGACAAAGUAUUGUGUCUUCUCUUACGUAUAAGAGGUUACCUAGGUAUUUAUUUUAUAUUUAAAGCUUCCAAGUACAAAGUCCCUUCGUGGUCGCCAAUUGUAACCGCUGGUGGUUCCCUUAUUUACCACUAUAAUGUCUUAAAGCAUAGAACUUAGUAGGGCUAACCAUACAGAUAUCUUAGCCAUAAUUUUAUUUAGUGUAAGAGAUCCUCUAUUUAACAUAUAUAAAUAAUUGAGAAUACAAUAUAAAAUAAGGAUUGUCUUGGAAGCAAGAUUGUCUUUUGGAUAUUUAUUAUAUAAAAAUAUAAAAUCCAUUAUAGCAGAGUUUAUAAGAUUUAAAUUACAUGCUUGCAAAUAUCAUUAAUAGGUUAACAUACCCUUCUGAACAUGUCAUCAUGUCAGCCUCUCUGUCAUUUUAAGAUGGAGCAGCGUCUGUCUCCAAGUCUCUCCUCUGUGUCUUAACAUUUAAAAGUACACCUAUUUAUACCUUAGGUGUCUCCAUUUUAGGUUACUGUAGUUCAAAUAUGAAAAAGUAACACUUCUUUUACUUUAUUCAAUUUAGGACCUCCCUUAACUUGGCAAACAUACAAGGCCAUAACUAAAGGGUGCAUACGUCAUGGAAAUUUUCCUGACUUAGUUCAAGAUGGCAUCUUAAAGUCUGAAUAUGUUAUCUGUUGUUUAUACUAAGUCGUAAGUGUACAGUCGCGGGAGAUUCCCGGAUUUGGGGAAGUUCCAUUAACUUGGGGUUACCACAGUAUAUUGUGUACUGCAAGUGUCGUAGUAUAGCCUUGAAGCUUGUUUAUGCAUUAUUGUUAUUGUAAUUCGUCUGGGACAAAAUGGCGCAAACAUAUUAUGCACUGAGGUUAUUGCUUAAAGAAACAUCUAUGAGAAACAAUAUGUUCCAUUUCUUACACCUUGUCAGUUUGCAAUAUCUCUUAAAGACAAAGUACACAGUUUAAGAAAUACAACAUUUCAUUCUAAAAUUUGUAAUAUUUGCAUUUGCCCAUAACAACACACUCUGUAUUCACUAACACACACUCUGCAUUCAUUACACUAACACACACACUCUGCAUUCAGUACACUGACACACACUCAGUAUUCACUACACUAACACACACUCUGCAUUCACUACACUAACACACACUCUGCAUUCACUACACUAAGACACACUCUUCAGUGGGGGUGGAGCGGCGGUGUGCUGGGGGAAGGGGGAGGGGCAGUGGGGGUGGAGCGGGGCAGACCUUGUGCUUUGUCAGGGGCCCCAAAAUUUCUAGGAAGUGCAGUAGGCUUCAAACUCCAAACUCCAUUAAAGUAUGCAAAUAAUUCCAAACAGCAAUAACUGAGAUUGCACACAAUGAGUAGUGCACCACACAUAUGUGUUGAAUUCUUACCAGCAUAGCUGCAUUUUAUAGAAAGUCUGACAUUUUUAAUAUGGAAUAAAAUUAAUCUCUCAAGUAUAAUUGGUAGCUGCUCCACCUAAUGGAGGUGACAACACAAACAAACAAAAAAACAUAUUCCAAAUAGAAGGCUUUAAAAACCAGGCAAACAAAACAAUCUAAUAACAAUAGUAGAACUGCACUGCUUUUCAAGGGCACUUUAUGGUGUAUAUGACGGUUAUUUUAGCAAUUAUGUACUUUUAUAAUAACGUGUCUUAGUAUUUGUCUCCCAUUCUAAUUAUGUUUCAAGCACUUUAUGUAUUGGUUUGCAUUUAGUAAAAUGAUGUCUGCAUUUUUAUUAUAUAUUGCUCUUAUGAGAAGGUGGACACGGAUUUAUGACAAUUUAUCCUUAUAUAGUAUAUGAGUAAAGCCUUAAUAAUAUCUAAUAUAGAUAUCUUGCUUCCAUAAGUUGUUGUUUGUAAUUAUUCAAUUUAGAAAUAUGUAAAUCGUCAAUUUAUCCCCCUAAGGACGGAAGCAAUUCUACACGUUCUGAUAAAAAAAAAGGCAAACUCUGGAACUUAAGCUAUAUGUCUAUUUAACUGUAAUAAACCUCUUUCAUAUUAAAUGCACCCACACUUAUUAUAAAGCGCUACGGAAUAAUAAUAAUAAUAUAUCAUUUUGUUAAGGAUAAACAUGGCAUUAAUUUCAAAUAUUUGUAUAUUAAACAUAAUUUAAUAUGAACAAAAACUAAAAAAGUUUGAGAACAUAAGUAAUAUUGUUAUUUUCCAAGUUCUGCUUGGCAUUUUAAUUUUGAAUGUCAUAAUACUGUUUUAAAGCAAAAAAAUAUACAUAUUUGUGUUCAGUGAUAUAUAUAUAUAUAUAUAUACCGUGAAACCUCCAAACUCGAACUUAAUCCGUUCCAGAAGGCUGUUCGAGUUCCGAUUUGUUGGAGAACCGAAUCAAAAUUUCCCAUACGAGUUAAUGUAAAUUUGAUUAAUCCGUUCUAGAACCCCAACAUUACAGCAUUUUAAGUUUAAUAAUGCCUUACAUUCAUACAAUCACAUAGUAAAAAAAUAAUAAACACAAUGUACAGUAAAUUUAAAGAAAAUGUAACUUCACUUUACCUGUAAUAAUGAGAGUUGAUGGCGUAAGUGAAAAGGAUAAGAAAUAUUAUUGGUUGGAUAGGGAUAGGUAACUGUUCUUCUGGCAUUUAAAAUGUGUCUAUUUGGCAUGAUUUGUUCAGGUACCGAGAAUAGUUUGUGUACCGAUACAUUUUCUUCUCAAAUGUUUUGACUACCGAAUUGUUCGAGUAACGAGGUUCCAUGUAUUAUUUUUAUAUAUGUGUCUAUAUAUAUGUGUAUAUUUAUUUAUAUGUAUACAUAUAUAUAUAUAUAAAAAUCCAAAAAACCUCUGCACUCCAACUAUAAACAAAAUUAAAUACCUGGUGCUCUGGUGGCUGAAUAGUAUAUGAUAAAGUAAUACCGGCACUCAAGGGUUUCACCACAAACAAAUCUUCAUUUAUUGCGAAGUAUAGAUCGACGUUUCAGCUCCUCACAGGCUCCUGUGAGGAGCUGAAACGUCGAUCUAUACUUCGCAAUAAAUGAAGAUUUGUUUGUGGUGAAACCCUUGAGUGCCGGUAUUACUUUAUCAUAUAUAUAUAUAUAUAUAUAUAUAUAUAUAUAUAUAUAUAUAUUGUGAUAAAGUGAAGGCAGAUAGGCCUUUUAACCCCAGGGGAAGAAAGUGUAGUUUGUGUGUUGCACAACACAAAACACUGUUUAGUUAUGGGCCCCUGGGGUGGAGCAUUUGGAGAGAAGGGUGGGCCAAUGCUCCACUCCACAGUUUAGUGGUGUUCUGGGGAGACCUAGAUCCAGGCCAGGGUUUUUUGGACUGUCUCCAACCCACUGCUCAGCUGCAGGUAAUCAGCUGUUGCAGUGGGAAUAAACUCCUCCCGGCUAGGCAGGAAAAGGAGAGGGAUUGCUGGCUUCCUCCCAGGAAGCAGGUAGGAGAGAGAGGCUGUUCUCUCCAGAUAGUCAAGAAGACUGGCUUGGAGCACUGGGAGUGCAGAAAGGAAAGCAGUCAGGGCAAGGCUGGCUUGGAGCACUGGGAGUGCAGAAAGCAAAGCAGUCAGGGCAAGGCUGGCUUGGAGCACUGGGAGUGCAGAAAGGAAUGCAACAGGCUAGGCAGCAGAGUGUUGCUAACUAAUAAGGUUGGUGCAAUAUUGUGUUUAGUUUAACCCUGAGAGUUAGGGAACUAAUGUCAGUUAGUGCUCAGACGAGCUAGGUGUUUGUUUAUAGGGUUUUCUGUUACUUUUGAUUUUCAUUUACUGCUGUAUCCUGUGUGGAUAAACAAAUAAAGUGCCUGAAGUAUUUGCAACUACAAGGACUGUGCAUGUUUUUGCCCUAGAGGACCGUGCUACCUGGUGACAAGGAUCACAAUAUGGUGGAGAAUGCGGGCAAAGUAGCACAUUGAGGGUCUGUGGGUGUGCCAGUCAUUCGGUAGUCUGCUUGAGGACUCUUAUUUUGGCAGACCUGCUAAUCAAAUAAGUAGCACUGUACCUUUAAGACUAUUACCUGCUUGGUGCUAUAAUGGAGGACCUGCUGAAGGCUCUGGUACAGGCAACUGCUGUACAACAAGAGGCAACUGCUAUACAACAAAACACCAACCAUUUCCUGGCUGCACAGAUUAAGAACCUGAGGGACGCUCAGCAGGAGUAUAGAGCUGCCCUUACUGAUGUUUUGCAGAUUGCCUCCAGCAGGGUGUGUGGGGACAAGGGACCCCGUAACCAAGCUACUGACAUCCUGCAUAAGAUGACAGAGGCAGUAGAAGAAGUCUUUAGCAAGCUGAAAAGCAUGGAGGCAGCAAAGCUUGAUGUUGAGAAACACACAGAAGAGAGAGAACAAGAAAUAGAAGGCAAGAAAGAUACAAUUGAGCCUGAAAGUAGUGGAAGAAGGUGACACUGAUGACAUGCACCAAAGUAAGAAAGGAGCGCGAGGCAUACUGAUUACUGAAGUUGACAAAUGUUUAUUUGAGAACCAAAAUGUUGCAGCUUCACGUGAAAGCCUCAAACUUGCUCUAAGUGGCAUCACAACAGAUAAAGCGAUCCUGGGAAAAGAGUUGGAAACAAAAAUAUUUUCACGCUCAGAAACUGCAUCUUGCACGUUUCAAGAGAAUGCUGGAAAGACAUUUGAAAACAGAAAGGUACUGAUAAAUCUUCCCAAGGUAAUGAAAGAAGAAGAGGAGAAUGACCGGAACAGUGCCUGCAGUGUGGAAAACAAAGAUGAGACUCAAUCAUGUAACGAUGACACAGUGCCAUCUGCUACAUGUCGGGAUGUACAAGAGGCAAUCAGGCCACGGAGGUGCAAGUAUUUUGAUGCAAAUAAUGAAAUAGAAGAAGAAUCAGAGGAUGAUGAGGAUUAUGUUCCUUCAGAAGACUGGCAAAAGGAAAUAAUGGUUGGUUCCAUGUUCCAGGCAGAGAUUCCAGUUGGCAUCUGCAAGUACAAGGAAACUGAAAGAGUGUAUGAAAAUGAUGACCAGUUAUUGUGGAACCCAGAUUUUAUAGUAGAAACAAGAGUUCUAGAUUUUCUAAGUGAAGCGCCCAGAAGGACUGGUGAAGAGAAGGGAAUAGAUGCAAUUCCAGGGGGAUCACAUGUAAAAGAAAACGAAGCAGGAGCCCCUGAUGUACACCCAAGUGAACAAGUUAAAGGCAUGAAAAGCAGACUGACUUGGGGAGUCAGAGAAGACAACUGCAAAAGAGCUGAGCUUAAUAGAGAGAAGCAAAGCACCCCAGCUGAGUAUAGCAAUGCGGUGCACUGUUUAGUAGCCGAGGCUACCCAAGAUUGUCGACCAGCUGUUGAACAGUUUGGCAGAGAAAAGAAAGGCAAAGUAGCUGCUUCUGAUCUAAGCCAAGAGAGAGCGACAGUUACAGAACCAAGCUGUGGUGAUAAGAUGGGCACGUCCGCACCUAAGCCCGACCAAGGCGAAAGUUACAAAGCAGGUGACAUUGGCGCAGCUGAAUUAAAUAUUUCAAACACGUCUGGUAUUGCUACAAAGACUUUGAAGGAUUGUUUGGGAGCCAUAGAACUGGAUCUGCUGGCAAAGACUACUGCUACAAGGCCUGGGCGCACUAACUACCUGGAACAGCUGCCAGACUCUGGGAACACAGUCGUGGAAUUAAAGGCGGGACUCGGACUGCCUGACCGGCUGUUUGAUACCGGGGCUGUCAUGAUCCAGCGAGAGGCCAUGACUGCGUCUCUGGACACCCCCAAGGGAACAGGGAGACUGCCAGACAGCCCAGAGGAAAGCAUUUCUGACACUGAGAGGUGGCCACUCAAGGCCGAACAAGUGGAGGAUACCCCUGGGGAGGAAACCAGGAAAAGGAGAGAUGAACUAAGCCAGGAGUCUGGGCCUCAGGUAGAACAGCGCUCCAUGCCAAGCCAGGCCGAGCAUGAUAGGAUGGAGCUGGGAUCAAGGGCUGCAUUCAUGCAGGAGGAGGGUGCUCUAGACAGCCUCCUUGGCCAACCCCCUGAGGAUAUAGAGAUGAGACCUGUAGCAUUAGCCGUAGGGAGCUAUGAAGGCUCCCAGGAAUUCGCAGAACUGAUGAUGGAUGAGCUGGUGACAGAACCAGGUCUUGAAGAGUUUGAGCACCCAGAAAAUUUAGCUCAUGAAGGAAUCGGACGUAUAAGUGAUAUAGAAAAGUUAAUUACACGCAAAGCCUUUGUAAAGUUUGCAUUUGAAAGUAACUCGGACAUUGAGAGACUAUCAAACCUGAUACUGAGCCUGGGACAAUAUAACUAUGCUGGCAGAACGUACCCAAAAGUCCCAUUAUGGCUACGAGACCAGACUGAGAAAAACCUCCGAUGCUUCAACUACCACAUACAAGGACAUAUUGCAUAUAACUGUCCUGAGACUGAAGAGCCAAUACAAUGUGACAUAGGAAUAAGGGCUCUGCAUAGGAUAGUAUUGCCUUGCUUAAAGAUGUGUAUGGUGACUGGUGGUGGUGUUACAGCACAGCUAAAAGUGGUGAUGGUGGUAGAGAAGAGUGCACAAACAUUGAUAGAUUCAAGGAGUGAGGUUACUUUGAAAAGUGUUCUGCUCCAGCCAGAAAAAUGUGAUUUAAGACAAGUGUUUGAUAAUGUGGGUACACAUGGUGACACCCGCACAUACCCCAUGGCAGAGGUAGAGUUUGCCACAGAGGUAGUAAAAGUUAAAUGCCCUGUAGUACAUGUAGCUCAAACACAAGAGCGUAUAGGUAAGGCCAGGUUUCUGAGUACCUUGGACCUGGUCAUAAGGUAUUGGCAGGUUCCCCUGACAGAGACAGCAAAGGGAAGGACAGCGUUUUCUACUCCCAAGGGGUUAUGGCAACAUAAAGUACUGCCAUUCAGGUGGCAUAGUGCACCAGCCCCCUUUCAGCAUAUGAAUAAGAUACUUUGGCCCCACGGAGAGAAUGCCGCUGCCUACCUUGGUGAUGUGGCGAUUCACAGAGUGGACUUGGAAGCACACCUGAUGAAGGUCCAGUUAGUUGUGAAUAAUGUAAGGGCUGUUGGUCUGACCGCUAACACUAAGUGUUAUCUAGGAUUUGAGGCAGCUAACUAUUUGGGUUGUCCGCUUGGGUGGGGAUUCCUUAAACUACAAGGGAGCAAGGUAGCAGCCAUCUACAAUAGGCCACAUUCUGUAACUGAGGAGCAAGUCAGGGCUGGUACAGCCCCAGGUGACGUGAACAUUCGUGGUUUGUGUUCUAAGGUCGCUCGACCCGAUGGGUCUGAGCUGGGGGGGAGGAUAUGUGAUAAAGUGAAGGCAGAUAGGCCUUUUAACCCCAGGGGAAGAAAGUGUAGUUUGUGUGUUGCACAACACAAAACACUGUUUAGUUAUGGGCCCCUGGGGUGGAGCAUUUGGAGAGAAGGGUGGGCCAAUGCUCCACUCCACAGUUUAGUGGUGUUCUGGGGAGACCUAGAUCCAGGCCAGGGUUUUUUGGACUGUCUCCAACCCACUGCUCAGCUGCAGGUAAUCAGCUGUUGCAGUGGGAAUAAACUCCUCCCGGCUAGGCAGGAAAAGGAGAGGGAUUGCUGGCUUCCUCCCAGGAAGCAGGUAGGAGAGAGAGGCUGUUCUCUCCAGAUAGUCAAGAAGACUGGCUUGGAGCACUGGGAGUGCAGAAAGGAAAGCAGUCAGGGCAAGGCUGGCUUGGAGCACUGGGAGUGCAGAAAGCAAAGCAGUCAGGGCAAGGCUGGCUUGGAGCACUGGGAGUGCAGAAAGGAAUGCAACAGGCUAGGCAGCAGAGUGUUGCUAACUAAUAAGGUUGGUGCAAUAUUGUGUUUAGUUUAACCCUGAGAGUUAGGGAACUAAUGUCAGUUAGUGCUCAGACGAGCUAGGUGUUUGUUUAUAGGGUUUUCUGUUACUUUUGAUUUUCAUUUACUGCUGUAUCCUGUGUGGAUAAACAAAUAAAGUGCCUGAAGUAUUUGCAACUACAAGGACUGUGCAUGUUUUUGCCCUAGAGGACCGUGCUACCUGGUGACAAGGAUCACAAUAUAUAUAUAUAUAGAAUUUUAUACUCGUAUUUUGAAUAUAUAUAUAUAUAUAUAUAUAUAUAUCCAACAUCGGCUUGGCACUCACAUUCCUUUCCUGUUCUUGCCUCGGUGUUAUUUAGUGCCCCAAUACAACAUCCCAGAGAAAAGCACUCAGAGGGCUUGUAGUCUGUGCAAUAUAUCCUUUAUUUGUGCAAAGGUACUUUGGACUUUUUUUUGGUUUUGAAGUCGGGCCAAAACGUUGACCAUACCUUGCACAAAUAAAGGAUAUAUUGCACAAGACUACAAGCCCUCUGAGUGCUUUUCUCUGGGACGUUGUAUUGGGGGCACUAAAUCCUUCUGGGAUGUUGAGAAUAUAUAUAUAUAUAUAUAUAUAUAUAUUUUUUAUCUGGCAUAAUGGGGUUGCAUAUUAUUAUUUUAUAUUAUAUAUAUUAACACCAUUAUAUAACAUCAUUAUGGGUUUAUGGCAGAUGAUAUAAAUAUCAUCAGCCAUAUAUAUACACAGUAGAUAUAUACUUGAUAAUAUCAAUUCUGCACUCAGGCUCCAACACUCCACAAGCUUCAAAAGUUAAAUGCUUGGUGCCAGACAAGUAGUUACAUGCAUGUAUAGAAAAAUAAAGUACUGUAGUCUGCACUUACGGUUUUUAGAAUAAAACUUAGCGUUUAUUUCCUAUUGGUUAAAAUGUGCACAAAGUGAAGUGCAUAAUGUGAAACAAAAAGUCAAUGUUUUUUAAACUUUAUUUAAACAUUUCCAUCUCUGGGGGACUGUUUGACAACUCAGACUGUGCCCCAGCAGGUAGAUCGGAAGCCAAUUAUUGUGGCCAUCAUGAUCACAUGUUCCGGGAGUGCCAGACUGGAUGCAGGGGGACUGCCUGGCUUGUCAGGCAGUCCCCCCCACAACCAGGAUCAGCAUGAAUUGCAGCCGUAGGUAAGUUUCUCUGGCCUGGGGGUUGCAAACUGUUAGGGAAUUCCAUGUCGUCCUAAGGUUGUUUAAGCUGGCUUUGCUCUAACAACGUUUAUGGGUUAAAGUCCUAGUUCGUUAAAAGUCACACAUUUCUGUCUUGGAGGAACACCUUAAGAACCUAAAGCAGUUCAGCUAAUUUAUCUACUUUGCAGGCUUAUUUCAAGAAAUCUACACUUUUGUUAAACAUUGUUGUUGCACCUUCCAGGCUGUCAACCAGACAACCAGGAGGAUUUCCGGUCUUACUCACCUUGAAUCAUGAAUGUAUAACUGAUAGGGAGUAUUGAUCUUGGCAGCCACACUGACCAGUGCUAUAGCUCAUUGAGAAGUGCAGGAAUGGCCAGUUGCAUUCAUGGGGAAGUUGCUGGCUGUGUAAUGGAGUAUAUUAAAUCAUAUGCAUGUGAAUAAAAUCUUUAAGCUAUAGAUAUGAGACUUUGCCAUAAUGGCUUAAGAAAACAACUUCUAAUAAAACCAGAAAACCUGUCUCGUAUCAAGUCCACUUGAUCAGGGUGAACAAGUUUGCAACAUUUUGGAGUAUAAUUUCAUAUCAACAUUAGAAAAGAUAAUUGGGUAAAGUGCAAAACGUGGUUUCUUUCUUCCUUCUUUAGAUAGACUGUGUCCAUCUUGAAAUGAAUUAGGAGAGUAGAGCAAAUGUUCGACUUGUAAUAUCUGAUUGCAGAACAUGUGUCUAGGCCUACAGAUUUUUAUUCAGUGACACUUUUUCUCAAGCUACAGUUUAUUCAGUGACAUUUGCAACUUAAUUGCAUUGUCAGAUAUAUAAGACGAUAAAAUAUGUACACAUUUUUUUUUUACAAACAUUUUCUUUUAGAAGCUUUGUUUCAAUGGCAGCAUUGACAAUGAGUAGCUCAUCUACCUCAAUAGCACAUAAAUUUAACAAAAGCAUCUUUAUAUCUAAAUAGAUUAAAAGCCCAAAAAAGGUAAUGAGGCAAAGUCGCCAUUUCAACAUAACAGUAAGUAAAGAAUACAUCUUCUGUUGUUAAAUUUCUCCAUAGCAAUAUUUGUCACAAACUCCACCACUUUCAAAACAUUUCAAAAUGUGUUAUAAACUUACAUAUGCCGGCAAACACAUAAAAAGAGAGAAUGGACAGAAAAUCCUAAUACUCACUGGGCUAGUGAAAUACUAGUUCAGAUGCUUCGGAUCUCUUCUUAAUCAGGCCAGAUCGUCCCAGUAAAUAUAAACAAUUAAUUUAAGACCAAACAUUUUAUGAAUAUAGCCCCAAAACUAAAAUAGUAUCUAAAAGUUUCUUCCAAACUUUAAGUGAAUGACCCUUCACUUGAUUACAAAUUUAUCUGCACUAUUUGGUUUACAAACAGGAUAAUAAAACAUGCUUUAAUUGCUGUACCAUUUUAUGGUAUUUUCCAAUCACCAACACGAUUGCUUCUCAGAAACAGUUCGCCUCAUAGAUCAUAGUUAUAUCACUUCAAUUGUGAACACAUUAGUUAACCAUAUUUUGACAAUGAAACAAUGAAUACACAGCAAAUUAAUUAACAGUAUUUUUACAUUGUCAGUGCAUAAUAGCCAACCAAAACAAAGUGUUGCAUAGCAAUCUUAAUUAGAAUACAACAAAAGGAACACAUCUAUUUAGAAACGGAUUCAAAAAUGUUCCUGCUAAACUGGGCAUCAGUAACAUCGCCCAUAUGUAGACAAGAAUGCUUCAGAAGCAUAUUCAAAGAAUACAGGAAGGGGCUUUGCAAAGAAAACCAGUCUUACAGUAUUCUGCAAACAAAAGCAAAAAGAAGAUUUUGCACACACAAAUUCCCAAAACAAUGAAUGCUGGAUAUUCUUUUUGCUUUUGUUGAUAAUCUUCUGGGUUAUAAGCUUUUCCGUGUGCACCAUGUGAAACAUAUCCCUGCCCAUUUGAUGAGUGGCGAAAGCUACAGUCAGAAUCGAGUGUGCCUUAAGGAGACGCUUCAUAUCGUUGAAGUAAUUAUCGUGUUGAGUACACUGACAAAACUGUUACAAUGAUCUUUGAAACUGUACCUAAAUUACGUAAACUACAAAAUCAACAACUGUGUAUCAGAACAAAUUUAAAAAGCACACUGACAGCAGUCUGUUGCUAGACCCCAAUCUAUCCUUUGGCCUUCACACUGAAAAAUUCUCUUCAAAACUUUACCCAAAACUAGGUGCCCUGUACAGAAACAAAUCCUGUCUAAGCCCUACAGUAAAGAAACAGUGCAACAAAUGCUAAUGCCGGUCAUUGAUUAUGGGGAUGUAGUGUAUGCACCCACACUACAAACCCACCUUAAUAAACUUAAUACGUUAUAUAAUUAGUUCCGCCGCUUUGUUCUGGAAUGUAAUUAUUUUACCCACCACUGUGACAUGUUAAAAGAGCUAAACCGGUUGUCGCAAGAAUCCCAAAGCACUCUUCAUCUUUCCAGCCUUGUGCAUAAGAGCAUUUCUGGGAAGCUCCCACCCUACCUGAGUAGAAUGCUCUCCCCAGCUGUUACCACCUUCUAUAACCUCCGAUUUAGUACUGGCACAAUAUUUAGCAUACCGCAAUACUAAAAUAAAGUGGCUCGAUCCUCCUUUUCUAACAGAGCACUGCAAUUAUGGAAUAACCCCAGUGACACAAUCAAAUCAUCAUUCAAUCUAAAAUCUUUUAAGAGAUCGAUGGCAAUAUACCUCAGCACAGAAUGCACCUGUCAUUGUUGAAUAUAUUUAUUACCUGUUAUGUGGUACAUAUAUAUAUAUAGUUUGUAUAUUGUAUUUUUGUAAUAUUGUAUCCUAUUGUAACAAUGUAAUGUUUUGUGGACCCAGGACAUAUACUUGAAAACAAGAGAAGUCUCAAUGUAUCCUUUCUGGUAAAACAUUUUAUAAAUAAAUUUUUAAAAAUUCAUAAUUCAACCAUUUUAAUAUUUUAAUGCUAAUUGAAUGCCUUCAGCAGUCCAUUACCUCUGUUCUGCUAGGGAUAAUGAGGAAGAAAGAGCCUGAACAAGAUUGAACAGCUGUUAUUGGCUGAGUGAUUGCUCCUAUGAAUUGAUAUGCCUAGAAGGAAGUGUGUAAUCUCUGCCUUCUCCAUACCUCCACGUAAGGGCUAGGCUGUGGGUGGCCAUGGUGAAUCACUUGAAAAUGGUUUAGCACUAUAUGGAGGGACAGUGCCAGAAAACUCAGAGCAUUAUAACCAAUUCAAUUAGAUUGUAUAGUUACAGUGCCUACAGGUGCCUAUGGUUACAGGCCAACAGUUAAGGCAAGCCUAUUCUAGACUUGGCUCAAAAUGCUGAAACAAGGGAGGGUGUCAGAACCAAUUGAUGUGAAGGAGGAACAAUAUACUCAAAUGAAUCACAAAAAGAAAGAUGUUCACCGGGGCAAAUGUAUCACAUUUGAGAGGAAAGAAAAGGAAAGGCAAAAAUCUGCAAAAUGUCUUGUACUUCGUAAUUUUUCUGUCCUUUUAGAUGAGAGAGGAGAAGCUACCCAUAGUUAAUGUAGCAAGAAAAAAAACAUCUUUGUACAGACAUAUAUUGCUGUAUAAUGGUGUUAUAUUGAUUUAUAUUACACAUUCAUUUAUACCUUGUCAACUUUGCGUAAAGAAAAUCAUAAUCAAAAUAAAUAUGACAUGACAAAAGACAGAGAAGACCAGAUGCGAAAAGCUGUACAGACCGCAUUCAGUAGGCAUGUGCAUGGGGAAAAUAUUCGGCUUGGUUCAGCAUUCCGAAAUUCGGAACUUCAUCAAUUCGGAACUUCGCCAACUUCGCAACUUAGACACUUUGGAACUUUGGCAUUUCGGGACUUUUCUUGCAGCCGCUUGGUAGAUAGCUCCCUAAUUCCCACGGUAUUAGGGAGUUAUCUACCAAAAAGGCUGAAAGACCUAAAUUGGUCUUUCAGCCAAAUUUACUAAUACUAAGUAAAGAUUACUUAGUAUUAGUAAAUUUUGCCCCUACUCACGGCAUGUCUAGUAAACAGUGAGCAGCCAGUGAACUGUGAACAAGCAGCAGUAUACAAAAUAAGGAUUCCCAAAAAACUUGUGGAUAGAUAAGAGAAAAAAGAGAGCGUAUACCGCGCAAAUAAUUUAUAUAAAUACAAGAUGUACGUACAUAUAUUCACAGGUAUUUCCGAUAAAUCGACAACCUCAGAAUAAAAUAGAAUAAAAAAUAAUAGUGCAAUACAGUAAAAUUAUAUCGUGAAGUGGUGAAUAUAACUAUACACAAUCCACUCACAUUUAUAUGAGCUAUAACAGAGCUCAACUGUGAUGCGCUUGGACGGUACGAUCCCCGUCUCAGGAUAUGUUGUUCUAGUUGACUAGGGUAUUUCAAAGUGCAAUAUGCGUGGUAAAAAGAAAUAGCAGCCAAUGGUGAAGUAAGUACUUAUGAUGAGAUAAAUAAUAAAUAGUAAUGUACUUACAAUUUAUAGAGCAUAAAACUUUCUCUAGUAUGAACAGCCUGGGUGGUAUAAUCCCCACCAGGGAUAUGCAGGAUCCAGGAAGUAACAAAAAGAGUGAAUAUAAAAAGUAUCUAUUAAAAGUAUACUUUAAUAUAAACAAACAUAGUAUAAAACAUAAAAAGUAUAAAGGAGAGUCCCACUUAACGCGUUUCGCCUGAUAAGGCUUCUUUAGAAGUGGUAACAAGGAAAAAGAGAAAGACAGCGCUAGAUAACUUAUAGGCAGCAACCUUUUAAAGGGGAUCCCUCAAACCCUUUAAUUUGGAUAAAAUAAGAAAAAAGAAGAAAAAAGGCUGCGCACACAGAUAAAAUUGGAAAAAAUAAAAAAGUUAUUUUUAAAUAAAAUAAAGUCCAAUUAGAAAGAAGGAAAAGUCCAAUGUUAUUGUCCUUACAGAUAGUCUUUGCUGUUGACGUCUUCUACUUUGUAGUGAGUCCACUUAUAUGAAAGAUAAAAAGAGAGAGGGGGACAACCAAUAGUGUAGUAUGUAGAGUUCUAAUAUGGAUGUGUAGAAAUAAUAAUAUAAAACUCACAUUUAUCAGAGCUAAUGUCCUAGCUCUGGAAUAAAGCGCAUACGGCGGUUUGAUCCCCGCUUAUGGGAUAUAGAUGGGUUCCUCUCUGUGAUACGUGUCCAGUUUCUCGAAAUAAAAGAGACAGCCAAUAGUGCUCACUGUAUAGCAAUAUUGAUAAAAAUAAUAAAAGAAUGUACUUACAAAACCAGAGCAGACCAACUGCUCCGUGAUGACAGCUUGGGUGGAUUGAUCCCCACCUUGGAUUUCUUUAAAUGCAGGAAACUUCCAGGGGUUUUCAGGUUUUUUUUAUAAAAACCAAUAAAAAUAAUAAUUCUUUAGAAGUGCCCUUGUAUAGAACCAAACACAGGCGAUGUUCGGGAGUUUCUGUGUCCAAUUUUAGUUCCAUGAGAUUCAUGCCCAAACACCGCUGCCUGCGUUCAUGCGAACAAGAUGGCCACCACCUCGUGGUUGUCCAUAGGAAUUGCGGCCACCCAGACGAACAAUUAGAACACUGCGGUGAGAAACGUUCCAAGUUGUUAAUAGGUGUUAACAAGCUCCAGGAUAGUCUCUGGUCCGUGCGGUUGUUCGUUAACUGAACCAUAUAAUCCCAAUUGUAUGAAUAGAGACUUUUUAAUGUAUUUUAGCCAGGUCUAUUCAGGGGCCAUAGUCCUGGGGCAAGAGGCUGGUCAGAAGGCCCCUCCAAGAACCAGUGUCAAGGUUCUGUGUAACAAGUAGAUACUGUAUAAUAUACCAAAAAAAGGCCAGAAAUGGUAAUGCUAAACACCCAAAAGUGUACCUCACAUACACCAAAUCACAAUAUAAUACAAAUAGGAAAAAUAUACCACACCAAUAAACAGUGAUAGUAUAAAUUAAAGGGGUAGCACACCAAAAAUACAAAACAUACAACCUGUAUGUAAUACAGAGCAGUUCUUGAGAAAUCUAAAAAUUGGAAAGAAUUGUACAAUAGUGAAGUAUGUAAAGAACACCAAGGUCAAUCCCGGAGGUAGAGAACUUACAGACAAUAUAGAUGAUCUGCGCUUAUCUCCCUCUUUAUUAUAGGGUAUCUCAGGGCAGCACUGUGAUUCUUGUCGUAGAGGAUUUUGAUAUUGAUCAAAAUAUAUACAAUUGAACUCCCAUCCUCAAAGUAAGAAUAUGUAUAUAGAGUAGUAUUGUAAAACCAUCUUACAUAUUAGCUACGGUGGAUGUUACCUCUCUGUACGCCAAUAUCCCAUCAAAAAGGGUUUGGAGGUUAUCAGAGAUGUAUUAAUCCAACAACACACUUUAAAUUCUGGACAAAUAGAUUUUUUGGUUUCGUGUAUUGAUUUUGUUUUAACCAAGAAUUUUUUUUGGUUUGAUUCCAAUUUUUAUUUACAACAAUGUGGCGUCGCCAUGGGGACGAGGUUCGCCCCCAGUUUUGCAAAUCUGUAUGUGUCCCAUUGGGAGGCCUCUUGCUUCCAUUUGGGACCAUACCUGGGGGGGAGCCUCGUCCUCUGGCGACGAUACAUAGAUGAUGUUCUUAUAGUUUGGGAAGGAGACAUUCAAGGGUUAGAAAAAUUUAUUGAAACUUUAAAUCUAAACCAAUACAAUUUGCAUUUCACUUCUAAUAUUCAUCCGACUACCAUAGACUUUUUGGUUUUAACCUUAUAUGUAGAAAAUUAGAUUCUGAAUACUAAGACCUUUUUUAAAAAAACAGAUUGUAACACGGCCAUAAAAAAGACCAGUUUACAUCAUCCUACAUGGUUGAACAAUGUCCCUAAGGGACAAAUAACCCGAAUGAGGAGAAAUUGUUCUAGCACACAGAUGUUUGAAGAACAAUCGAAAAUUAUAAAAAAUAGAUAUAUAGAAAAGGGUUACAAUGUAGAAAAAAUUAAAAGUGAUAUUUCAAAAAUUAAAAACAAGAACCGUUCAGAAUUUCUAAUAAAUAAAGACAAUAGAUGUAACAAUAAAGAUAGUAAUAGACACACAGAGUUUGCUUUUAUUACUAAAUAUAGUUUUUAGGCUAAAAAAAAAAUCAAAAAAAUUCUAAAAAAACAUUGGGCAAUUCUGAAAAAAGAUGAAAUUUUGGGAGAAAAGUUACCUGAAAAACCGGUGGUCAUAUACAGAAAAGCAGACAAUUUAAAAAACCAAUUGGCACCGAGUCUUUUACCAAACCAACUUCUUCUACAAAAUAAUUUUUUACAGCUAAAAAGAACCCCGGGUUUUCAUAAAUGUGGGGCCUGCUCUACUUGUACUCACCAAAAAAGAAAAACGGUGUCUUUUAUGCGGUCUAAUACAAAAGAAACAUACAAUAUUAAGAAGUUUAUACACUGUACGUCAACAUUUGUAAUCUAUCUGUUACAGUGUGGAUGUGGUGCCCAGUAUGUGGGACGAACCACUAGAAAUCUACAUAUCAGACUCCGAGAACAUUUCAACAAUAUUAGGACAAAUAAAGUGGAUCAUAGUGUUUCCAAUCAUUGUAAGACCUGUAGUAUGUUUAAUUGGUCCACUUUUAUUGCCAUUGGUAUUGAUCAGGUUGCUAUGAAUUGGAGAGGGGGAAGUAGAAUUAAUGAUUUAGCUAAAAAAGAAGCCUUUUGGAUUUAUACUCUUAAGACCUUAAAGACAGGUCUUAAUCAGGAAAUUGAUUUAAUAGGACUUCUUUGAUUUCUUGUUUAGUUGUUAUUGUUUUUGUUUUCUCCCCCUCUCAUCUCUUAUUAACUUGAUCAUAUAUAUAUAUAUAUAUAUAUAUUUUUUCUGUAUAUGUAUCAAUAUCUGUGUAUUACACAAGGUCAUUUUUAUAUGGUUUCUGCAUUCACUUAUUAUAUAUACAUUUUUUAUUACAGCCUAGUUUUUUAUGUAUGAGAAGGGUUCUCCCUUCGUUUCUUCUUUUCUGGUUGUUGUGUUUUUUCCUAUAGCUGUAGUGCGUUCCAUGCUGGAACGCGAAAUAGAUUCAUCCAGAGCCUUUGACGAUAUGCGUUCCACGGUGGAACGCGGAAACAUUUAAUGCCCGCAAACAUGGACGUGAUCGUCAUCACGUUCGUCCAAUCGGAUUGGAAGUUCAGACGAAAUGCGGAAGUACUGAUCUUUUGGCGCCAAUUUUUCGAAAAACUGUCUGGAACAUAUAAAAAGAAGUUCUUUCGAAGUUCUGCUGUAUAUCCCGGAGGAAGUCGUAAAGAUGAAACGCGUUGGAUUUUUAUCUGGGACAUUUUUAUCCUAGGUUUCAUUAUUUGUAUUUUUAUAGUUGUUUUAUUUAUAUUUUUGCUGCUAUACUUUUUUUUUUUAUUAUUGUUCGAGUUGAACCUUCUAUGGUUUGGUACCAUCUGUUGGAUGGAGAUAUGCUGACCUAAAACCAGUUUUAUGUAAGUGCAAUCAGUACCACAAUACUUCUCUAUAUACAUAUUCUUUCUUUGAGGAUGGGAGUUCCCUUAUAUAUAUUUUGAUUAAUAUCAAAAUCCUCUACGACAAGAAUCACAGUGCUGCCCUGAGAUACCCUAUAAUAAAGAGGGAGAUAAGCGCAGAUCAUCUAUAUUGUCUGUAAGUUCUCUACCUCCGGGACUGACCUUGGUGUUCUUUACAGCCUUGACAACUAUUGUACAAUUCUUUCCAAUUUUUAGAUUUCUCAGGAACUGCUCUGUAUUACAUACAGGUUGUAUGUUUUGUAUUUUUGGUGUGCUACCCCUUUAUUUUAUACUACCACUGUUUAUUGGUGCAGUGUCAAGGUUCUGUUCGCCACACAUAUAUAUUUAUUGUGAGAUGCCUGACAGCCCAUCUCCACAGACAGCUAUUGCGGCCAUUUGAGAGUGAUCACAUGGCCCAUGGGGACCUGAUUCAUAGGAUUGGACUGCCUGGGCUGUCAGGCAGUUACCUAGAAGCAGAUCGCAACAGAGGUAAGUACGCCGGAGCUCCAGGAGCAAGCAGUUAUGGUAUGCCAUAAUGGCGUUUAUGGGUUAAUUUCUACUAGCAUUUAAAAACCUUUGAGGUUAAAAGAUAUAAAAAAAAAUUUUUAAAGCAAGGACAUAUAGAAUUUUAUAUAGCUUAGUCAUUUUGUAGUGAUUAAACAAAAGAAGGUGGUGGAAGCAGGCUAGAUCAAGAGCUGUCUAUUCACCACUACUAAAAUCACUAAAAUGUGUGAGUAUGGCAUCGUGAGUCCAAUAGGGCUGUCCAAAAGUAAGCAAUCAAAUCGUUUUAUCUUUGGAGAGCUGAAUAGUUGAACUGUAUUUGCAAGACUCUUAACUGUGAAGUCACACUUUUUUGAUGUAAACAUCUUCUGUAUAGCCUGUAAUAAUUCACUUUCAUUUUAUUGCACACUAAGAUUCUUGUUCUGUCUCUUUUUAUACUAGCUAUGUUUAUAAGGCAAAAUUAUCCAAGCUCUAAAUAGGCUGAGGAUUACCAUAUCUCAAGGUGCAUAUGGUGAGCUUAUGAAGAGAUCUAAAGAUUGUUCACAGUGUAUUUGUUCAGAAUGUGCAGACAUUGCAUUUAAUUAUUGUUUCAAUUCUAUUUACGCGCAGAACCUGUGUUUGCUCUAUUCUUCCUGCACUGACUUACACAGGGUAAAAUCCCUUGACAGGGCACUUUUAUUGCAAUAAUUCAUAACAUUUUUAGUGCUUCAUGAAGUCCAAUCAUCUCCAAAGGAGCCAGAACCAUAACUGAGGAAGGCAACAUGGAAAAACCAGAAGACGGAAUAGUCUGCAAGAUGUUCUGAGAUUGGGUCUCUUUCUCCAGUUGGGGAGAAGCAAUCACCCACAACUGUUUAAAGAAGUAAUCCAUGUGGAACAUGACCAUAUUAAGACGCAAAAUAAAUUCCAAAAAGAAGAGUGUAGGUAUGAAGAAUGGGGUAGUCAUGAAAUAGAUGCCAUCUGUAAAGAAUUACGUUUUAAGCCAUGAGAGGAGAGGAGGUCAGACUGAGGCUCGUUAUGGAGGGUGAUAAAAAGGAAAUGAAGGAAUGAAAUAAAGAGAAAAUGUUAAAAUAUUGAACAGAUUAUGUUCUGUUCAAUAUUCUAGCCCUUUCUCUUUAUUUUAUUUCAAUUAUUUUAUUUCAAUCAUGACUAGGAUUUUUUUUCCCCCAGGAGACAUGACAAUUUUUAAAGAGAAGUUCAAUGGGAUCCAAUAGUUUAUAUACUAUUGAAAAAUGUUUAAAUUAUAUUUCCACAGAGGAAAGGGGCCCGGUUGUGCUACAAGGACAGAUGGAAGACAGACCUUGGGGAUAGUGAAAAAUUAAAGAGCAUACGGCAGUCUGCAGCUAAAGCUUCCGUUAGUACAAAUUUCUAAAGAAGAGGCAUGUUAGCUUCUUUUUAGGUAUUAUGUCAUUCAUUUUAGGAUUUACCAUAUGGUUUAAACUACUACAGAUCUGUGUUAGGAUAAAUGUGUCUAUAAUGGGACAUAUUUUCAUAUGUGGUGGAAUUGGCCAAAAGUCAAGCAUCUCUGGUAGAGUAUAACAAAUUGUUUCUGAGGUUUUCAUGAGACAUAUAGGUGUAUGUCAUUUGUCUUUUAUUCUGUCAAAAAUGUGAAAGAAUUCAAAUAUGCUGAACAUAUGCUUUUCACCAAAAUUACCCUUGCAGCUAAGCAAAGAAAAGCAGACGUUUGAAUGAAAAACACCCUACCUCGACUAAAAAGUGUGAUUAGCACUAACCUCUGGUCCAAUUCCGGGUCCCAUUAUCAAAAGGGUAAUAGAUAGAUCUAAUUUUCCUUUAUUUACUCUUUCCCCCAGAAGGACUAUUUUUUUCCACUUCCUUCUUUCGCUAUUCAACAACCAAGGUUGCCCUUGACAACUUACGGCUGUAGCCCACUGCCAUUCCACUGGUAUGUUGCUUAUUUAAAAAAUUGUUGGACUUCUAAGUCAUACAUUGUAUAAACUUGUUAUCAGUUGUAACACGGUCAAUGGAAAAUAAAGAAUUUAAAAACUAUACAUCAAAAAUAGAUACAAUAAAGAAAUAUUUAUUCUAAACCUAGAAGAUGAUAUAAUAAUUUGUUUGCAGUUUACCGGCAUUUUUGAAAGAUGAUUUAGUGGCCAAGGAUGAAUUAGAUAAGUCUAUUUACCUUAAACAAAGAAACACAAUGCCACAUCCAUCAUUGCAAUUACAUCUAGCCAGUGGCGGCUCUAAACUUUGUGAGCCCUUUUGCGAAACUGAAACAUGAGGCCCACACUAACACCCAAAGUGAAAAAAAUUAGGGGUUGCAUUGUGCUGCUAUGUUGUGAGCUCCUCUGACUGUAGUUAUGGUAUAAUUUGCAAACUAAAUACAUUUGCAAUAAACACAUUUAAUUGGCAAUUAUGCUAAUUGUUUAUACACAAUUGCGAGGUAUUGUUACUUCUUGGCAAUCUUGUAUACAUCAGUGUCGGUGUGAAGGGAUUGUUGAAGUUAGGUUGAGUAUAAACGCAUCUAAAAAAAUAAUUUCCAAAAUAAUAAAGUUAAAGAUAAGAAAACAGUUGCAUAGAUAUUUUCUCCACAUAUUCCAUAAUACUUUCACUUUACAUUAUCCUAUAUAAUAUACAUACGUGUUUCCCCGUGUAUUGUAUAUGUAUGUAUAUUACAUAUAAAGAAAUCCAAACUUUUCCAUAACAACCUUAAGUCCAAUACCCGGUGCCCAGCAACAAAACAGAUAUCUUUCAACAGAAAUACCAGCACUCUAGACUUUUCCAAAACUUCAUUCUUUAAUUGAAAAAAUCCAUGUCAACGUUUCAGUUCUCGAACAGAACUUUCAUCAGGACAUAUAAGUCCUGAUGAAAGUUCCAUACAGGAACUGAAACAUUGACUUGGUUUUUUUUUUCAGUAAAAGAAAGAAAGUUUGGAAAAGCCUAUAUUGCCGGUAUUUCUGUUUAACGAUAUAUAUAUAUUAGAUGUUAGCACUUUACCUUUGCAUUGCCCAUACCAUACCACCCUCACAUUACAGUCAUAGACACAUAAAAACACUCUCUGAUACACGCAUAUGCAUACACACACAAACUCACUGAUGCAGAGAGACACACAUUGACAAAUACAAAAAAAAAUCAUAAUGUGUAUCUGGCUAUGUGUAUUUAUGAGAAUCUGGCAUUGUCUACCUGUGUAUGUGCUUGACAGUGUGUGUGACAGGCAGCAUCCUUGUGUGUGAAUGUAUAUUUUUGUUACUAUGUGUAUAUUUGUGUCUGUGACCGAAUGGGUGUGGGAUAGUUGCUUGCGGUGUGUUGUUUAUGAUGGCUGCCUAUAACUUUGUGCAUUGUAUAUAUGGCAAAGGUACAUUUUAUGAUGUAUGUCGUGUAUGAUGAAUGUCUUCAGUAGGUGACAGAGUGAGUAUAUGUGUAACUGUGUACAAUGUGAAAACAUAGCAUUCACAUUGUAUAUUUUCUCUCCGCCACUCUGAUGAGUUCUUGCAUCAGUGGUAUGGCCAUUAAGAGUACAUAAAGAAAGGAGUGUGUGUAUAUCUGUGUUUUCACAUACGUUUCCUGGCUAGACAUUAAUAUUCACAGUAUUUUCAUUUUGUAACACAAAGUAUAGCGAAACAACCGAGUAAUAACAUGACAAACGGAAACAUAAAAUAAACAAAAACUAGUGGACCUUAAUACAAUAUAUCAAUUUCUCUUCUCACUUGACUGUGCUCUUGUGAUCUACUUUUUUUUUAUUCUCUAAAACAACCUCAUAUCCCAUACUGUGAGUUUAGGAGUGGUAAGUUAACAUGUAAUCCAUCCAUAUCUGGGUGGACCCCUCUGCUGCUUUCCCCAUAUUUAGCAGUUUGGAAGCCAUUAGUUCGUACUCUAAGUUUGUGGACACCUGGGUCAGUUAUUCGUUUGUAGAUUGCACCUUCCCCGACUUCCAUUUCUUUGCCAUUAAAAUGGCAGCAACCAUCAAAAUGAGGUACAUAAGCUUACUUACUGGUUUAGGUAAAUCAUCUGGGAAAAUAUACAGUAGGUAUAACUCUAUGGAUGGUUGUAUAGUGAUGUGUGUAAUAACAGUAACUUUGUUUACUUGCUUCCAAAAUGUAACAAUGUGUGGGCAGUGUAGUACCCCUUUCUUUGUUAUAUCUCUAGCACAUACUAUCAACAUAAGUGUACAUUUUGGCAAGUUUGUAUGGAGUAAGGUGCCAUCUGUAUAAAAGUUUAUAGGUUAUCUCUGCAUGAGAUGCACAAGACGAUAGACCCUUGGUAAAGGAAAAUGCCCUAGACCAUGUAUCGGGGGAUAGAUCUUUUCCUAAGUCUUUAUGCCCCUUUUUAUGAAAAUUCCAUAAGGGGAUGUCUAUAGUAUUUAUGAGUGUGUUGUAACAGAGAGAGUAGUUUAUGUGGUUUCCGGUCUCAAAAGUGGACAUAUCGGUUUCUUUUACUAUUUGGUGUCUGGUGUCGUCAAGACCUUUUAGAGCAUGUCUGAGUUGAAGGUAUAAGAAAUAGUUCGAUGGAGGUAUGCGAUAUGUUUGUUGGAGAACCUGGAAGGUUUUCAGUGUAUGGUUGCUUGUAAUGUGGUGGAGAUGUGUUAUUUUAUGAUAUGACCCAAUGGGAAACGUUGGGAUGAGUAUUUUUAUUGAUCUCAGCAGAGUCACUGGUGACCAUACGUGAGAGGAUCGAAUUCUGUGUCUUACAGUGUCCCAACAAGAGAACAACAAACUUGUAAGUGGGAGGGUCAAGGGCGGGAGUGUGCGGUUAGAUUUUGGUACCCAUAGUAGGUCUAGUAAGGUGUUGCCCCCCAAUUUGCUGGAUUCUAAGUCCCUCCAUUGAGGCACAUAUGUGUGUGAGUGACCUGCAAGGAUAUUAGCUAGAUGUGCCGCUUUGUAGUAUUCUUUUAUUGUAUGGAAGCCAAACCCACCCUUCCCCGCCACAUGCAUAAGUAAUCGACCUGGAACUUUAGGUAUUUUGAUGUUCCAAUAAAAUUUUUGCAGUGUUUGGAGUUUUUUUUCAUGAAUUGUAUUUGUAGUGUGCAAAAUAAGUACAAGAUCCUGGGGAGGAUCAUUUUAAUUGCGGCACCCCUGCCCAGCCAUGAAAGGUAUUUGCUCUUCCAUUGGGUUAGCGUGGUGUCAAUGUCUGUUUAUAGUUUUUGAUAGUUUAGCUUGAAUAAAACUUGUGAGGUGGUUGCUUGCCCAACAACGUCAGGUAGUUUUGUCUCCAGUCAUAGUUAAAGGAUUGUUUUAGAUUAUCUAGUCUGUCUUGUUUUAUCCCCACACCUAAUGCUCAGGGUUUUGUUAUGUUUAAUUUAAAGUAUGAUUGUAAGCCAUACUCAUGUAGUUAUUUUUGCACAUUAGAUUUAGAAUAGGUGAUUUUUCAAGAAAAUUUUGUAUAUGAUGAAGGAGAGUUUUUUUUUAUAUAUUUUUUAAUAUUUCUUAAUAAGAAUAAUGAUAAUGCGAUUUCACUUUAAAUAUAAAUUGGAUUGUGGUUGCAUAUAAAUAUAUAGAUAGAUCUGGAAUGUUACAUAGUUGGAGGAGGGUGUGUGAGACAGGGUAAGUGCGGCACGGUUGGGAAGGUAGUGUGACAGGGCGAGGGGACAUAAGUGUGAUAAGAUUCGGGGAGUUUAAUGUUAUCACAGUGUGUGUGUGGGAGGGGGUGACAGUGUGUGUGUAUGACAUGGUGUGUGGGAGGGGGUGACAGUGUGUGUCUUUGACAAUGUGUGUGGAAUACUGUGUGGGAGGGGGUUGACAGGGUGUGUGGAGGGGGUGACAAUGUGUAUGGAGUGAGGGGGUGACAGAAUGUGUGUGUGUGUGAGUGUGAGAUAGUGAAUAGGAGGUGGGUUACACCACAGUGUGGGGAGAGGCUCUCUCCCUGGUGGUCUUGAUAACCAGUCGUGUCUUGCGAGAUCAGGAAAUAUCAGAGCAUUGCCGUGGAAAUCCGCAAUGCUCCGACUGGCCAGAGAUCAUUAGAUACUUACUCCACAGUCUACAGCUAGCAGACCAUAGACUGUGCUGGGCAUUCACCACAGGAGGAACCACCUGUAUGCUGCCAGGCCCUCUCCUAGGGUUGGGCCCUUGGUCACGGACUGAGGACCCGAAAGGCCAGUCUGCACUAUGGUUUUGUCCCAGUCAGCGCGAGACCUUAAACGGCUACAUAAAUUGCCUAAUUAGCACACAAGUGCUUCGGUCUGGCAUGCUAUCAAGGUAAUGUUGAACAUUAUACAAGAACUAUCUUGAAGAAAGAAAUAAAAAAGUAGAAUCCAUUAAUGGAUAACUGAGAAAGAUUAAAAAAAAAUCUACUUCUGCGUCAAUGACUUUAGCGAACCAACUAAUGAUCAAGGUAAACUAUAGUCAUACUCAUACUUACACAUGGUAUGGGUGUGCCAGCAGAUUUUAUUUGCUUAAGUUGAAGAACUUGAUGGAUACAAAUAGAUGUAUGGUGAUGAAAUAAAUGAUUAAAGCUAAAUAAAUUAUAAGGAAAGUUGAGUUAAGUGAAAACUAGGUUACAAUAAAUCAAAAUAAACAGAAUAAACUUUAACAUAUAAUGAUGAUUGCACAUAGACAGUGAAAGAAAAUCUUACAUACCUAAGAAGAAAAAUGAAUGAGUGCAAACAAUGGGGAGGAUUUUAAAACCCAGAAGGCAAACAUGUCAACUGGAUCUUUAAAUAAAUUCAAAAUGAACAAGAAAGAAAUUGAAGUUGCCAAAUCUUUUAUUUUACAGGCUCACUAUUAAAUCAGCUUCGUGACAGCAGCACAAAAAUAAGAAGACUUUUGUGCAUAAAUAAUAAAGGGAAAAUCAAGACGUGGUUAUGAAAAUCAAAUAUGUAAUAGUGACUGCAAAAAUCUGACUCAGAAAAUACGUAAUAUCUCCGAACAACAUUAUAGAGAAGGCUGGACAAAAAAGUUGACUGAAAAAAAAAAUAUCUACCAGCACAUAUUUUAAAGCUGGAGAAGAGAUUAGUUUAAACUACUUGAAUGCAGACUUUCCUCGUGUGUUGCUAUGGUUCUUUAUCAAAAGUAAAUUAGCAUAUUAUGGAUGCAUAAUGCAAUGCAAAAAUGUUUAGAGAAAACUUUUCUCUCCAUAUUUACAUCACACGUGCACUUUAUUUUACUAAUUAAAAAUAAAAAAAUGGCUAUAGGUACAAUAAUUUAAAAACAAAGUAUUUUUAAAACGAGGUGUGCUCUUUUAUUAUUUUAUACUCAGUCCUCCGUUUUAAUUAAAAAAAAGAAAUGGAGGGGAAUUAAACAAAACAACAAAACAAAAAACAAUUUAACCCAUUAAGGACUGACCCAGUUGUACAAGUUGUGAUAAUAACAAAACGUAAACAAAACCUGGCAUCUGCGCUAAAUGUCUGUCCAACCGUAAUUCACCUCUUUCAUAUUAAAUGCACUCACACUUAUUAUAUAUCAUUUUGUUCAGGAGAAACAGGACUUUCAUGUGACAAAUAUUUAUAUAUUAAACCUAAUUUAAUAUGAGUACAAUGUAAAAAAAAAUUUGAAAAAUUAAGAUUUUUUAAAAUUUCUUUAAUACUGCAUGGCAUUUUAACUGUGAAUGUCAUAAUACUGUUAGCGGUUACUGCAAUAAAAUGCAAGUUUGUAUUCAGUGAAGUCUCAUGAGUAAAAUAGUACCCGCCAAGUACAGGUUUUAUAGUGUUUUGGAAAGUUACAGAGUCAAAUUUAGCACAUUACAUUUUUUUGUUUAUACACAUUGAAAUUUGCCAGACUGGUUAUGUUGCCUUUGAGACCGUAUGGUAACCCAGAAAUGGUAUGCCAUCAUGGGGGUAAUUCUCAUUCCUAGGCUACCAUACGGUCUCAAAGGCAACAUAACCAAUCUGGCGAUUUUUAAUGUGAAAAAGUGGAAAUGCAAGUUUUAUAUUACACUCUGUAACUUUUGAAAACACCAUAAGACCUGUACAUGGCGGGUAUUGUUAUACCCGAGAGACUUCUCUGAACACUAAUAUUAGUGUUUCCAAACAUUACAACUUAUCACAACAAUUAUAUCAUCAGUGAAUGUGCUGUUUGUGUGUGAAAACUGCAAAAAACUGCACUUUCACAGACAAUAUCAUUGUUGUGAUAUGUUUUUUACGGUUUUGAAACACUAAUAUUUGUGUUCAGUAAAGUCUCCUGAGUAAAACAGUACCUCCCUAUGUACAGGUUUUAUGGUGUCUUGGAAAGGUACAGGGUAAAAUAUAGGGCUUGCAAACCAUAUUCUCUGGACUUUCUGCCUGCGUUGUCAGGCAAGUCCCUUAAAUUGUAAUUAAUGAAAUUACUUAAUCAUGUAAAAAUCUUAUAUAAAUAUAUAUGUAGAAUUUAAAUAUAUAUGUAUAUUUAUUUAUAUAUAAAUAUGUAUAUAUAUAUAUUGUUUAUAAUUUUUUUUAUAUAUAUACACACACAUAUAUAUGUAUUCAUAAUGUCAUUCUAAAUGUAUUUUGAUUUAAAUAUAUACAAUAUACUGUUAGAGCGAAAGUAUACAGGUAAAUCAUUUAAAAAAAAUUAAUUAAAUUAUUUUUUAUUUUUUCGAUUUUCUUAUUUUUAUAUAUAGUUAUAUAUAUAUAUAUAUAUAUAUACAUACAUACAUACAUAUAUUUAACGUCAUUGUAAGUGUAUUUUAAUAUUAAUAUAUAUAAUUCUAUAUAUUAAUAUUAAAAUACACUUAGAAUAAUAGUUUAUGGGUAUGUAUGUGCAUAUAAAAGUACUUAGAUCAUAUACAUAUAUAUGUAUAUGAUCUAAGUACUUUAAUUUACUUUAUUAAACUUUUUUUUUACUUUUACUAACAUUCGAAACAUUUUUUACAGGCAGCAGGAGGACAGCCUGAGAGCUCAGGCAGCCCCCCUGCUGGCACUGCAUGAGCCAGCUAUUCCUGCCAUGUGAUCGCAAGGACCCCGCUAUCACAUGGCCCUGGAGGGCCUGAGCUCCCAGUCAGCCCCCACGGAUCGCGACCGCUGUCGUGGGAUUGGCGGGACCCAGUAAGUCUCCUGGACAGCGGCGUUAGGGACCGCCCAAAAAAGGACAGCAUAGAACCCCCGCCUUCCUUAAGGGGUUAAAGGGACUCUCCACUGACCAAAUAUAAGAUAAGCAAAAAUCACUGUUCAAUAGAUAUAUCCCAAAUUUAAACUUGCACCUUUUUUAAUAAUGCAUUCUUUCAUUGGGGGUCUAAAUUCAGUUUGCAUAACCUGCAGUUCUCCUGCCUGCUGUCUUUGCAAGCCCUCCCCUUCUAACCACUAUCAGAGAUAUUCCAAUACAGCCAGCUCAAUAAGAAGUCUUUGCAAGGUAGGUGUUCUUGGCAGUUGCUACCUCCUGUGUUUAGCUCCAUUGAGCUAACCAAACAGGAAGUAAAAGGACCAGUUUUCUGAGUGUUGGCCUGGACAUUGUAACCAAGUUAAUUUAUAAAAGUGUAAAUUUCUAUUGAAAUCUGCACUUUUUUUAAAUGAAAAUAGUAUUAUACACUCUUCACACAAAGCUUUUCAGCAAGCUAAAGUCUUUUAGGGGUCUGGAGUGACCCUUUAAACCCAUCUGUUAUAUAGUGCAGGGACAAACAUCUUACAGCAGCCACUCAGUCUCUUUUGAGAUCACAAAUACUUAUAAUCUUGGUCCAAUCCAAUGCUAUCACUACAGAGCUAUGGCGCAUGUGCACAAUUAAAGUAUACCACUAAGCAAAUGCUUCUUUAUGAGAAGCAUAAGCAGCACUGAAAAUCGACUGUCUUGACAGCCACUAGAAGUGUAGUUUAGGAAAAAGGGAACAUUGCUGUUUCUCUGAAAUUGUUUCUAUUGUCAGAUGAAGAAGGCAUGAUAUGUCCAUUGAAUUUAGAUUGUUAUAGUGUCCCUUUAAAUGUCUUUUCUAAUAACAUCUUCACACUUCACAUUACCUAACAAAGCAUAAUAUAGUUAAACAUUUGACUUACAAGUAAGCAUAUUUUAUAACUAAUGUGUACUUGUAUUUAACAUGUAAUAUUUUCUAUGUCACUCUUCCUGCAUGAUGGCUGCCCAAUUCUAAGUCAGGCAAAGUGCACACUAAUAGGAGUUCUGAAAGUUCUCUAUCCCUCUAGAAUUUUAUUUAAACCUGGACAGCGUAUUGAGCAAAAAAUGAAUGUUAUUCCCAGGUGACCUAAUUAGAGAUUCCCAUAGAUAUUAUAAAACCGGAACAUCUGGUGACAGACAUUUUGCUACAGAAAAUGAUUAGAUGUCAAACUCAAAGCAUGUAAUGCUCUUAGACAGUUUAAAUGAGCACACUGCAGGAUUAUUAUGUUAAUGGCCCAAUUUAGUAUUCUUCUGGGUAACAUUGUUAAUAGUUUAUUUUUUUUUCUAGAAUCAAUUUGUAUGCUUAAUAUGAACUAAUGGUUUUUAAAAGAAUGUCACAAAAUGCACUGGUCGGCUAUAUGCCUUCAUAACAUGAACACAACAGCAACCUUAGGAAAUUAAACAAUAUAAACGCGUUUACUAUACCCUUCAACGAAUCUGCUAACCUUUACUGAAAGUAUGUAAUAUGAUGACGAUCAAAUACAUUGCUUUUCCAUUAAACCAUGCAACUCUGCCUCCUUCACUUGCAGGUGCUGUAUUGUGAGCAGGUAUAAAACUGUUCCCUUUCUCGCUCAGAGAAGAACGCUCUGCAUCAGGCAUGGGAUAGGCCCCGGAAGUGUAUGAUGACAUCAAUGGAAGACGUAAGAAGUGUGUGAAUACAACAUUCUUUAUUUACCACUCGGACCGGCUUUCAUAUUUGCAAGUUCUUGUUUUUGUUUUAUAGAAAAAGAUUGAUAGAUUGACCCUUGCACGGAAAGUAUUUCAAAUAAGGGUUGGUCAGGGCAUAACCCUUAAAUUUAUUUAUGAAUCAAAAGUAACAGAAAUCCCUAUUGAGAGAUCCCUAAUAUGGUAUCUGAACAAAAAUAAGGUAACUGUUUGGAAUAUACUAAACAGUAAAAAGUGUGUGAAGAAAUGGAUACAAUUUAACAACAGAUUAUCCAUGUGGCUGUCUAGUCAGUGACUUGUUCAGCUUUAUUUCUCUUUGCCAAAAUUAAACACUUGAACAGCAGUUUUAUCUGUUUGCUAACUAAGUAUAAUCUUUAUGUGAGGAAAUUAAAAUAAUAAAGAACUUCAAAUCCCCAGUAUAGUCUCUCUCUAUAGUUACUGAAUUCCUAGGCAAAAAGCUAUUGGUAAAAUGAAAUUAAAUUGGAGAUAAGAAAAUUAGUAAAGGGGGAAGAUCUACUAAACUGUCGAUUGGGUAUGGUGGGGGUUAACAGGGAGAGGAGUGAUUUUAGAAAUAAAGGAAGAAUGAGCUUAUAACAGGAAGUCCAUCCUCGGGAAGUUUAUAAGGAUAGGAGGAAAAAAAAAAAUGUAAAUAAGCAGGUAAGUAUAUGAGUACUGUUAGAGCACCGAAACGUGUGUCUGGCUUUUCUUAUCUUUUAUUCACUUGCACUAAUUGCACAUUUUUUCACUCUUAAGUUUUGGGUUAUUAUUUAAGUGAGGAGGGGAAGGGGGGCUAGUUUAGAAUAUACGUCAUGAUAUCUAGAUGAUACAAAGCCGCAUUUGGGCCUAGAAUUUAGAGAGUUGAAGAUUUAGCACCCACCAAGGUGCAGGAUGGAGUAUCAGGACAAAGAUCUUCACACCCAUGAAGGUGCAGGAGGGAACAUUCUUUUAAGUAGAUACGUGGAUAAGUUGAUUUACCUGUUUCUAGCCCAGAGAGCUACUGGAGAGUUUUCUUGGAAGGACAGCAGCAGACAAAUUCCCUUUGAUGCAAUUUAACUUUAUAUCAGAGCAUAUACUGCUUAUUGUGUGAGUAUUAUUGACAUUAUGAGGUAAAUACCAGAGCCUCUGUAGGUGAUCAGCUGUGAAGGUUAUAUUGAUUGUCGUCUGCCUGUGUUUAUCACUGCCUCCAAUCUCUAAUCUAUUUACCUGCUUUUUUAUAUUUUUUUCCUCCUAUCAUUAUAAACUUCCCAAGGAUGGUCUUCCUAUUAUGAGCUCAUUCUGCCUUCCUUUCUAAAAUCACUCCUGUCCUCUUUAUCCCCCCCAUAUCCAAACGACAGUUUAGUAGAUCUCUCCCCUGUACACAUUUUCUUAAUUUGAUUUCAUUUUAUUACUAGCGCUUUGCCUAAGAAUUCAGUAACUAUAGAGAGAGACCCUACUGGGGAGUUGGCGUUCUUUAUUAUUUUAAUUCCCCCACAUAAUGAUUACACUCAGCAAACAGAUAAAACUGCUGUUCAAGUGUUCAAUUUUGGCAAAGAUAAAUAAAGCCUACAAGUCACUGACUAGACAGUCAAGAAGAUAAUCUGUUGCUAAAUUGUAUCUAUUUCCUCACACACUUUUUACUGUAUAUUUCAAACGGUUACUUUAUUUUUGUUCAAAUACCAUAUUAGGGAUCUCUCAAUAGAGAUUUCCCUUACUUUUGAUUCAUAUAUAUUUUUUUUCUUUAACCCCUUCCCUAUCUCAAACGGUCCUUAAAGGACCACUAUAGUGCCAGGAAAACACUCGUUUUCCUGGCACUAUAGUGCCCUGAAGGUGCCCCCACCCUCAGGGUCCUACUCCCCCCGGGCUGGAUGGAGAGGAAGGGGUUAAACACUUACCUUUCUCCAGCGCCGGGCUCCCUCGGUGCUGGAGACUCUCCUCCUCCUUUCCUGUCAUCGGCUGAAUGCGCAUGCGCGGGCAUUCAGCCAGUCUCAUAGGAAAGUAUUCUCAAUGCUUUCCUAUGGACGCUGGCGUCUUCUCACUGUGAAAAUCACAGUGAGAAGCGCGGAUGCGCCUCUAGCGGCUGUCAAUGAGACUGCCACUAGAGGCUGGAUUAACCCUAAAGUAAACAUAGCAGUUUCUCUGAAACUGCUAUGUUUACAGCAGAAAGGGUUAAUCCUAGGUGGACCUGGCAACCAGACCACUUCAUUAAGCUGAAGUGGUCUGGGUGCCUAUAGUGGUCCUUUAAGGUACCUAGUACGUCCGCGGAAUUCCCUCCUUACACGAUCGCCGCAGUUCCCCCGCAGACGAUCUGUGUUCCUCUCUGUCUGGGGGAACUGCCUGACAGCCCAGACAGUCGCCUAUCGGCAAAUAAGGACCCCGUGGGACCACGGGCCAUGUGACCGCUGAAAGAGCGGACACAUGGCCGCAAUAGGUGUCCAUAGUGCUGCCGGCAGGGGGAAUGCCUGAAUUGACAGACAGCUGGUGAACAAAAUAAAAUAAAAAAUGUUAAUAAAUGUAAAAAAAAUACAUGUAUAUAGGAAGUAGAAGAUUGCCAGCACUCCUGGAUUUAAGAACAAUAAUGUUUAUUUUCACAAGUCAACGUUUCAAUUCUUAGCUUGGAACUUUCAUCAGGACAAAAAAAAUGAUCAUACAAAUGACUGGCUUUUAUACAGAGCAAACAAGUUAAUUGCUCACCACCCCCAGGUGCUCGUCAAGUGGGUUGGCUGCUCCGGAGCUUGGGUGCAUAACAGAAUCACCUGAGUGAUUCCCCACACGUCAUAGGCAUGGUUCGCCUCCUCACAAAGCAUAUCCGGCGUCACUGCGUUGCCCGGGCAAGCGCCGAUAUCGUUUGGCUUUUGGCUGCCCAUAGGACCACUGACGGUGUGUGGAACCCAUCUAUCACAUGUGUCGGGACGUGUCCUUAGCAACUGGAGCUUGCCGAUCCCACUGUACAAGGCAACACCACACAUCCACAAAUGGCUUAACAUCUGUGACAGAACCAUCUGCCUGCUUGUAUUUCAGUUGCAUUCGUCUGUUUGUAUCCCGUUCGUAUGAAUGGCUGUUUUCUAUAGCCCAGCCAUUCGAAUGACUUUUUUCCCGAACAAACCUGCCAAACGGACGGCCACCCAGGAGAGAAGUGUGCUGCUGGUUAACCUAUUGAUCCCAAUUAGAACGUUGUGGUUAACCGCAGACACUUCUCAAUUAAACCGAAUUCAGGGUGGUCGUCGUUCGUAUGUCGACCACGAGGCAGCGGCCAUUUUAAACCACGCGAAAGCCCAGCGGUGUUUGGCUCUAUUUCUAUGGAACUAAAAACGGACACUUUUUCUGCCGAACACCGCUGAAACAACGGAACGCCUGGCUGUCUCCACGAAAGCAUACGAAUACCGGCCGUUCGGGAGGUUUGGAGCAUACGAAAAGCCUUAACCCAGAUAGCCUUCCCAUGGAGUCAUUCAUAUACCGAAAGACUGUAAGAACUUUGACUCCAUGGCGAUUGAACUAUGUGUGUGGGAUCUGAGCGCUAUUCGCUAAUAAUAUGCACUCAAAUCCAGGCUAUCUGGGGAUAUGUGAUACGAAUGGGAAAUGUUCGGUUAUUUUAAAGUUAUGUAUUUUUAUGUCUUUUAUGAUGUUAUAUUUAAAAUGGCGACUGGCUUCGUCCUGGAGAUAAUUGAGUUACUCGGUAAUUAUCUCCAGGGCAGAGGGGAGGGGAAUCAUAAUGCACUGUGGGUAAAAUCUGUGACUGUGUGUCUGGAAUGUCCCCAUAUCUGUCUGUCAUUUAAGUCUCCCAUUUGGUCCCUAGGGGAGUGUCCACCAAGUGGGAGACCUGCAUAAAUACGGGCAGGUAGCCCACAGUAAAGCCAGAUCCUGUUUGACCCUCAAUGCGGAGCUUCUGUCUCGUUAUUGGGGGGAUUUCUUCUUCACGUUUAGAGACUGCUGGAUGGAACCGAAAGCUGCUUGGUGGAUAUUGUUGUUCGGCGACUAGCAGCAGUUCGUGUGUUGCCGUUCGGGAGUUUGGAGCCGUUCAUGGAUCCGGUCGGGAGAUUGCCGCUUCCCCUGCAUUUGGUUCGUGCACUACAGGUUAGGCGAACGGAGUUACUGUUACUGCAGACGGGGAAGGUCUACUAAACGGUGGUUUUGUCUAAAGACACUGGAGGUGUCUUAACAACAUCUAUAUAAACAAAGGUUAUUGUGAACCGAGUAGGCUCUAAAUAGAACAUUAUUAAUUAGUAAAUGUCUGUAAGCUGGCAUUAUCCUUACCAGAAAUAGAUUGAACGUCCAUCAAGCAUAUACUAUAUAAACCCCCCUAAGGGGGGGGGGGGGCGGAGCUUAGCAGCGAACCUGGAUGGUAGCAAGCUCUCUGUGCUCCGCUCACAACUACCCAAAAACGGCUGAAAUCGCGAAAAAGAGACCUGCUAACCCCGCAGAAAACAGCUCCCUGACUGCAGGAACAAGAAUGGGCCGUAAAAACAAAAAAUCAAAGCCAGACAAGAGCCCACCGGGCCGUGAUAUCGGGGAUCUAUUCCGGAGCUCACAGAGGGCCGCAUGGGACAAAAUGGCGCUGGCGGACGACUGCUCCUCCUAUUCCUCGGAGGACAUGGCUAUUGCCCCGAUGGAAAAGUCCACUCUGGCUACAAAGCAGGGCCACGUCCCACUGGAGGCCACCUCAGGCCGGGACCCGGUCACCGCAGCGCAACUUAAGGCAAUGUUGGCGGAACUCCGCGCAAACUUGGCGGGUGACCUAGCCCCCCUCAAAAAGGCAGUCGAACACACGACUACCAAACUGGCCCAACUCGAAACUACCCAGAGCGUGCAUGAUAACCGGCUUACUGUGGUGGAGAAGGGUCUAGCUACUCUGGAUCAACAUCGGCUAAAGAUUGACCGCAGACUUGACACCAUGGAGGAUCAGAGGCGAAGGUACAACUUAAAACUCAGGGGAGUGCCGGAAAACAUGGGACUGUCGGACUUACCUCACUUUAUCAGGCGUUUUUUCGCGGCCCACCUCUCUCCGAAACAAGCCAAGAACAUGAGGCUAGACGGUAUGUUCCGCCUCCCGAAACCAACCAAUGUGCCACCCUCCACUUCUCCAGACCUCAUCCUCCGCUUCAGCACCCUACAGGACAAAGCCCUCUUGCAAGCCGCGGUGAGGGGAAAGACACCCAUUACCUUUGAGGGCGCCUCACUGCUCAUUUUCCCGGAUCUAGCUAGGAACACACUCCUGUGGCGCCAAUCCCUACGACCACUACUUCAGCAGCUACGCACUAACGAGGUGCCAUAUCGAUGGGGCCCCUACCGCACGGUCCUAAUUACAGCCCAAGACACGACUCUCCGCGCAGAAACAUAUCAGGAGCUGGAAGACCACUUGCGAUCGCUGGGACUCCCCCUUUAUGCCACCCCUGAAGGCAGAAACCUGUCACAAGUGGACUUAGCUGCGAUCAGGGAGUUCAUACCCCGGGCGGCAGGACCCAAGCCCACCGGACCUGUGACUUGACUGAGGGGAUGUCGGAUUUCAGUGGCUGCUGAGCCCUCACCCAAGACCCUCUACACAGCCAGGAACUGUCCCAGUUAUUUCACCCUACCAAUCCUGGAGACCCCAUGACCAUGAGUCGGAGUUACAUUUUUUUCAAAUGUUAUAUAGUUUUUAUUUUAUUUUUUAUAUUUUAUAUUUUUUAUUAUUGACAUGCUCUUACUGUUUUACUUUUGCCGUACUUUCAUCUAGAGUACAUGCUUUCAGCUAGCGGGGAUACAGAGACGAUUAAUAACACUGCCGCUCAGACUAAGACAUACUCACCAGUCCCAUCCUCUUCACCCGUGUACACAUGGCAUAGAUUACGCACAGAAACCAUCCAGGCGCUUAAUGGCAACACUUCAGAAAAUCUCUCUCCCCCCCCCUUCCCUACCUUUAAAUGGCGCACAGGUGCCACUACCUUUUCCUGAGGGAGGGGCAUCCACACUAGCCACGGACAUACCUACCACCAGUACCGCACUUAUGACGAGCAGUUCUGUGGCUACACCACUCACACGACGCUUAGGCAGACUUACACCACAAAAACAAAAAACACCUCAAUUCACUAACACACUCACAAGCUACGCUACGCGACUUCUUUUUCUCUUUUGAUGUAUAACUUACUCUCUAAUAUGAUGUCCAAGAAAUGCUCAAACAACAUAAGCUAUAUGAACCCAUGUUGAUAAUUACUGUGAUUUGAGAAAAAUAAAAAUUAAAAAAAAACCCUAUUGGGAUACCCCUUAGCCUUAAAUAAUUGACGCAGUUCAUUCGCUUUUAGUUUGAACUCAUCCAUGGUCGAACAAUUUCAGUGAAGUCUCAGUUAUCGGCCUAUCGGAAUUCCUGAUUUCAAUGAUGUGGGGUGAUGACUUGUCCAACACAAUAGAUUAUUGGAGGCUGUCUUUUUCCUAUACAAUGUUGUAUCUAUUUUGCCUCCUACAGAAAUCUGUAGUGUCAGAUCUAAAAAGCAAAGACAUUGACCCCCUACUUCACUUGUAAACUGUAAAUUGAAAUCAUUGAUGUUAAGCAAAUAUACAAAUUCAUUGAAUUUGUCUGAUGUGUCUAGCCAAAUCACAAAGACGUCGUCGAUAUAUCUUUUCCAAUAAAAAAUCUGGUCAAUAUAAGAUUUAAACCCCUCUAAGCACAGAUUAGUAAGUACCCCUUACCUACAUAUUGAAACCCAAUGCCAAUAAAAAUGAAAAUAUACAGAAGUAUUAAAAAAGAACAUAAGUAAAAGCAAUUACGUGAAUAAAGUCCUAGGUCUUAAAGUGACAGUGAUUAUGUGAAUAAAUUUCAGAAUCUUAAAGUGACAGUGCAGGAAUUUUUCCAUAAGUAAGAAUCUUUAGACAGGAUGUCUAUAGAUGCAUAAGUUCAAUGUUAAUAGCUCUAUAAUACGUGGAUAUGAAUAGUAAAGUGAAUGAAGUUCAAAAUCUAAAGUGACAGUGCCACUCCACCAAAGAGAGUCGGUCAGUAGUGUAUUUAUAUUAACGAGAAUUCGAUCGCAGUGAAUACUUAGUUUUAAGAUAAAACUAAAAGGGCAAAUAAAUGUCUGAUGUAUUGUAAAGUGCAAAAGUUAUUAUGUAGAGUGCAAAAAGAUAAAAGUACAAAAAGUUAAUGACCUAAAAACUAAGAUCCAAUAAAGUGCAUAAAGUGAUCCAUAAAGACAUUAGAAAGAAAUUGACAGUAAAUAUUCUACAAGGUACUACAGUCAGGGGUAGAUAACAUGCUAUCACCUUAAAGUGAGCCAUAUUGUAGUAGUGGUGAGAGAAUAAUAAGGUCAGCAAAAGCAGAUAUAAAUAUAUAUACACACACACUGCUCAAAAAAAUAAAGGGAACACUUAAACAACACAAUGUAACUCCAAGUCAAUCACACUUUUGUGAAAUCAAACUGUCCACUUAGGAAGCAACACUGAGUGACAAUUACAUGAUUUUGCUAUUACAUGACGAAAAGUCAUGAUUUUAUUAAAGACACGGAGGCGAGUAUUGCAUAUCCCUUUCUUUACUGUCCACCAAUAGCAGCAAAGAAUACAUACAGAAUGAAAAAAUAAUGAACAUGCAGUAACAUAGGCCCCUCCCCGCUCAGGUCCCAGUAUAAUAGGCAGCACUUCCCUUCCAUUUCCCUCUUUCUGAAGAUGCGACCAAGGUAAAAUGUCCAAAAACAAGAGUAGUGAGAGAAAAAGUCCCAAGGUAACACUUAUAACUGAAAAGGGAAGAACAUCAACAACUGGGAAGCUUGACCACAGGAGUCAUAGGACCACCGGAUAACAGCGGGGGGAGUCCUCCUAAGCCGGAUGAUUGUUUGCCUUCUCGUCAAAUUAGUCUGUGAAAACUUAAAGGAACAGGAGCCGACAGGUUAAAGUCGAUACUUGCAACUAGUUUCAAGGUUAAACGGGUGAGAACGGGUGAGGAAAGCCAACACAAUGGAGACAUCCCAGGUCAUGGAGUAGCAAGGCCUGGGUGGUCGUGAGAAUCGAGAACCCUUGAGGAGUCGGCACACUAAGGGGUGUUGUCCCACGGGGCAUCCAUCAAAGCCUUGGUGAAUCGCCGAGAUGGCAGACCUGUAAAGGUUGAUAGUCCUGUAAGCCUUUCCAGCCUCGAAGAGGGACGUCUGAAACUGUAGGACCACUGUUACAGAGGCCGAAACGGGAUCCGUGUUCCUAGCCAUGCACCAGCCAGCCCAAGCUCGCCAAGCUGACCCAUAUGCCCGUCUAGUGCCGGGAGCCCAUGCCGCCGCCAAUAGACGUCUAGUCGUGUCCGAAACUCCUUGGAUUUCCCAGGGUCCCCGGAGAUUCGCCAUGCCAGGAGUGGGAGAGAGCCUUCUAACCGGAGGGGGUGAUAUCGUCCUGUCGGGUCCCGCAGCAAGUUGUGGUAUUCCGGCAGUAGUCAGGGAUAGUCUAUCGUCAUCUCGAGCAUUUGGGGAAACCACGACUGCAUUUCCAAAAAUGGGGUCACCAUGACCACUUCUGCCCGGUGUUUGCGGGUCUGUAGGAGCGAGCGCGGGAUCAUGGAGAACGGGGGAAAGGCAUAUAGGAGGCCUCCACUCCAGUGUUGCAGGAAGGCGUCCACUGCCUCCGCCAUUGGAUCUGGCCUCCAGAUGAAGAAGCGUGGCAGGUGGGUGUUGAGCCAGGAAGCGAAAAGGUCAAUGGUAAAUGGUCCCCAGAGAAACGAUAUAUUGGAGAACACCGCCUUGGCCAAUCUCCAAUCGCUGGUGUCAGAGAUAACGUGAGCCCCAGACCGCCUGGACAUUGUGCAGGCCAGGUAAGUGUUCCACGUAGACCAUCAGGUUCUGAUCCAGGCAAAAUUCCCAGGUGGUUGACAUAUCUCACCACCGAGACGUUGUCCAUGUGGAGCCGAAUGCAUGUUAGGGUUCGGUCUCUGGCGAAACUGCGGAUGGCGAAGGAGCCUGCCAGGAGUUCCAGCGCGUUGAUGCGCAGCCGGGAUUUGGAUUCCCGGGAUUUGGAUUGGCGUCAGGUACGCGUCCUUGAGGUCUAGCUUCACUAGCCAAUCUCCGUGGAGGAGAUCUCUUAGUAGGUGAAUACCUUCCAUCUUGAAAUGGCGGUACCUGACUAUGGCAUUGAGGGGGCGCAAAUUUAUGACGGGUCUCAAUUGACCGCCUUUCUUUUCCACCAGGAAGAUGUUGCUUAUGACACCUGCGGGGUUGAGAGGUGCUAGUUCUAUAGCCCCUUUGAUAAGGAGGGAGGAGAGUUCCUCGUCGAUCUGUCUGCGAUCCUGGAGGGAAAAGCAGAUCGGUCAAGGAGGGAGAAUGUGUAUCAGAUGGUUUAUGAGUUCUAUAUGGAAACCCCGAAUAGUGGUCAGCGCCCAGGGGUCCGAUGUUAUUUGUGACCAGGCUGGAAAAAAAUGUUGGAGUCUGCCCCCUACACAACCCAGAGAAGAAGUGUGAGGUAACUCACCGUAUGGUCGCCUUGAACUUGGGUUGCCCCCGAAAGCCUCUGGACCGCCAUGGACGUCCGCGAGAUGGAAAGAACGUGGGGCGGGAGUUAGAAUCCUGGUACUGCGUACGAUGUUGGAAGGAGCCUCUUCCCGUGCCAUGGGAUUGGGGGUAACUGCGGCCGGCCAGACGGCUCCUGAAUCUGCCAGCCCUGGUAGAGACCCGCCCCUGGAACACCCGCCUCAUGGAGGCUUGGGCCUUGUCUAGGGCUGUGAACGCUCCAACAAAGUGCCCUAAAUCUUUUAUAAAGGAGUCUCCGAAGAGUAAACCUUGGGCGUCCUUACCCGCCUCCGUAAGGACGAGGUUGGCCAGUUUAGGCUCAAUCUUAAAUAAUAUGGCCUUACGCCUUUCUAUAGAUAGGGAGGUAUUCACACUCCCAGCAAUACAUAUUGCUCUCUGGACCCAACCACGUAGGUCUUCGGGGUCAACCAUGCGGUUCUCCGCUCUGGCGUCUUCCGCCAAGUCAAAUAAUUUGGCCAAGGGGCCGAAUAUGUCCAGAUGUUUGUCCUGGCAGGACUUUAAUGCAGACUCCAGUCCUUUACGGGGGUUCCAGCCCAAUUUAGUGAGGAACUGGGUCAUCUUGGGGUCUACCUCCGGAGUGUCGCAGACUUUAUUAGUCACCACAGGCCUAGGACACUCUGCCCUCAAUUUGUUGCGGGCCGCUUUACUCAAAGGUCUUCUGACCCAAUUCUCUAAAUAUGUGGCAACGUGGGCAGCCGGGAGCCACUCUGCCAAUCUCGGAUGGUGUAGGUCAUCCGGGUCGAAGAGUGGGACACCCGACGGAUCUACAAGGGUGGACCCCGCGGCCGCGGGGUUCCUGAUCCCUAUCUCGCCUCCGGGCAUCUCUGCCUGAGCAGAGGAAAGGAGGUCAAAGCCAGCAUCAGCGGCAUCCGCAUCAGAGUCACUGUCUGACUCGCUCUUAGCCUCCUCAUUUGACCCGAUUUCUGUGUCGGAGUCGCUCUCUAGCUGUGCUCUGGCACAUUUCCAUAGCCGCGCCCGUUCUGCCUGGCGCGGAAAGGCUCUUUUGCGUGGAUGGGACACGCUUUCUAGGGCGACCGAAGGUACGCCAGUCAUGGUGUUUCUGGAGGCAGAGGGGUGUUUCGACUUGUGGGUAGCCUUUUUAAAUAUCUCUCCCUGAGGGUUCACAGUGGACGCGGUAAAGACGUCGAGGAGCCCGAGAAUUGCUCGUCCAAAGGACGUGGCAAGAGGGCCUGUGAAAUGGUGUGGGAGAGGGUGGAGGACAUAGACCCCAUGGCCGCCAUAAUGGCGUCUGUCACCGAGCGCUGCAGCGCUAGGAACUGUGCCCCAUCAGGGUGGGUAGUUCCAUCUGUCAUAAUGGGCGAAUUGCCUGAGGUGACAGGGGCCUCACUUCUAAUAAGUGGGGUAUCAGACUCCCUAGAGGGAGUGGACCCAGCGGAUAGUCUGGGUUUAGGCAUGCUAAACAAGCAGAGAUAAUAAGCUAACAAUAGGAAUAGUAUGGGUUAGUCACCCAAACAGCAAAGACAAAAAACUAAAACGCUCUCACCAGGGCCCAGACCAGUGACACACUAAGAUGCAGGGUAGGAGAGAAGACAGGAAGUCUGAAAAUGGCCGCCGGUAAUCUCGCGGGAUUCGCGGCAUCCGCGGCAAAACUACAGAACGUUCGGUAAAAAAAGGUGAAUUCGGGAACCAGAUAGGUAAGUAUAGGAGAAUAUAGAAUAGGCGAAUGGGCGGUUCGCAUGAAAAUUUUGAAUGCGGCAAACAUGCGAACGCGCUGUCUGCCGAAUGGGGAAUAGUAUGUAUGUGUGGCGAAUCAGCCGAAUAGGCUUAAUUCGUGCGCAUACACGGCCGGGUAGAGGAGAAAAUGUGCACAAAAUGGCGCCAAUGGCAGGGAGGACGGAAAAGGAGAUAAGACUACAGUGGUGUAGUGACAGGGGUGGUCUGGACCCUGGGUAUGAGAAACAAACAGUGCACAGAAAAAUAAUGCAAGAUGAAGACAUCCAAGUACAAUAAAACAAAAUAAUUCUAGAAUAAAUGUAAAUAAAUAUAUGAAAUAAAAUAAAUAAAACAAAUAAAUGUAAAACAAAUAUUACAAUAAAUAUAAUAAGAUAGAAUGCUACCAGAAACCAGUCCAAUAGAAAACUAUGAAGAGAAAAAAGUGACAUGUACUUACCUUUGUGUCGGAGCAGCAAAGAGGGAAAUGGAAGGGAAGUGCUGCCUAUUAUACUGGGACCUGAGCGGGGAGGGGCCUAUGUUACUGCAUGUAUUCUUUGCUGCUAUUGGUGGACAGUAAAGAAAGGGAUAUGCAAUAUGAGCCUCCGUGUCUUGUUAUAAAAUCAAUUUCACAUGCUGUUGUGCAAAUGGGAUAGACAACAGGUGGAAAUUAUAGGUAAUUAGCAAGAAACCCCCAAUAAAGGAGUGGUUCUGCAGGUGGUGACCACAGACCACUUCUCAGUUCCUAUGCCUCCUGGCUGAUGUUUUGGUCACUUUUGAAUGCUGGCGGUGCUUUCACUCUAGUGGUAGCAUGAGACUGAGUCUACAACCCACACAAGUGGCUCACGUAGUGCAGCUCAUCCAGGAUGGCACAUCAAUGCGAGCUGUGGCAAGAAGGUUUGCUGUGUCUGUCAGCGUAGUGUCCAGAGCAUGGAGGCGCUACCAGGAGACAGGUCAGUACAUCAGGAGAUGUGGAGGAGGCCGUAGGAGGGCAACAACCCAGCAGCAGGACCGCUACUACCUCCGCCUUUGUGCAAGGAGGAACAGGAGGAGCACUGCCAGAGCCCUGCAAAAUGACCUCCAGCAAGCCACAAAUGUGAAUGUGUCUGCUCAAACGGUCAGAAAGACUCCAUGAGGGUGAUAUGAGGGCCCGAUGUCCACAGGUGGGGGUUGUGCUUACAGCCCAACACCGUGCAGAUCAUUUGGCAUUUGCCAGAGAACACCAAUAUUGGCAAAUUCGCCACUGGCGCCCUGUGCUUUUCACAGAUGAAAGCAGGUUCACACUGAGCACAUGAGACAGACGUGACAGAGUCUGGAGACACCUUGGAGAAUGUUCUGCUGCUGCAACAUCCUCCAGCAUGACCGGUUUGGCAGUUGGUCAGUAAUGGUGUGGGGUGGCAUUUCUUUGGGGGACCGCACAGCCCUCCAUGUGCUUGCCAGAGGUAGCCUGACUGCCAUUAUGUACCGAGAUGAGAUCCUCAGACCCCUUGUGAGACCAUAUGCUGGUGCGGUUGGCCCUGGGUUCCUCCUAAUGCAAGACAAUGCUAGACCGCAUGUGGCUGGAGUGUGUCAGCAGUUCCUGCAAGACGAAGGCAUUGAUGCUAUGGACUGGCCCACCUGUUCCCCAGACCUGAAUCCAAUUGAGCACGUUGCACUACAGACUGUCCAGGAUUUUGCUUUAGUCCAGGUCUGGGAGGAGAUCCCUCAGGAGACCAUCCGCCACCUCAUCAGGAGCAUACAUAGGCAUUGUAGGGAGCUCAUACAGGCACAUGGAGGCCACACACACUACUGAAUCUCAUUUUGACUUGUUUUAAGGACAUUACAUCAAAGUUGGAUCAACCUGAAGUGUGUUUUUCCACUUUAAUUUUGAGUGUGACUCCAACUCCAGACUUCCAUGGGUUGAAAAAUUUGAUUUCCAUUUUUUUAUUUUUGUGUGAUUUUGUUGUCAGCACAUUCAACUAUGUAAAGAACAAGUAUUUCAGAAGAAUAUUUAAUUCAUUCAGAUCUAGGAUGUUAUUUUUGUGUUCCCUUUAUUUUUUUGAGCAGUGUGUGUGUGUGUAUAUAUAUAUAUAUAUAUGUAUAUAUAUAUAUAUACACACACACACAUAAAAUACAAGUUUAGUAAUAAAAACAACUAUAACUAUAUAUACACAAUUAUUUUGGGAUUCUGAAAAGAUAAGUACUAGCACAUAGCCAUAUAUUAAAGGAAUGGUAGAAAAGAGCACUUUUCAUUCAGUCCCUUUGGAGACAGUGUGUUAAGUUCAAGGAUCCAAACAAGUUUCCCGCUGCAACAAUAGUUUAGCCCUGUCACCCCCGCUUGCGGGUACUGGAGCAUGGUCAAUUGCCACACAUCUAAGUGUCGAGAGAUGCUGCAGAUUUUCCAGAAAAUGUCUGGCCACAGGUUUGUCCGACUUCUUGUCCGAUACUUGACCUGUGUCCCCUGAUUCUCUCACAUAGUGCGGUUUCAGUUUUCCCAACAUAGUUAAGACCACACGGGCAAGUGAGUUUGUAAACCACAAAGUCUGUUCGACAAUGUAUCCUAUAUUUUAUUUUAUAGGAUUUACCUGUGCGUGGGUGACAGAAGAUUUUGAUGUCACACAUUCUAAACAGCGAACACAUACCACAUUCAUUGUCUUCUGUCACUUAGGCAUAUAGCAAUGCGUUGGGUCUGUGUGGACCAAUAAGUCUCUGAGGUUUUUAUUCACAAAAAAGAGAGCAAGGAACACAACGUUCCAAGUCCCUGUAUAGCCGCCGCACCCACCACCUCAAAACCUCCCCAAAAGGGGGGCAGUGGCUGCAGGGGUCACGCAGAGACCAACGUACCAGUAUGAGACUCCAGCUGUCUCAGAGGGGCUUAACCCCAAAUAUAAACACAAGAACAAAGAAAUAUGCAGACCGUCUCAAUUAUAUGAAUGAAACUUACUGCAUUGACUGGAAAAAAUAUAUCUAUGUAUAGCGCGAUGUUCCAAAUAUAGAACCUGGCUAUUAGAAAUAAUAUGGUCAGAGACCCUAAUUGAACAAAGUAUAUGGGCGUUUUUUCUGCACUGGGCACUGGUGUUUGGAGCACCAUGAUCACCAUUUAAUUUAACUUUAUUUUAUAUCGUUUUCUUCUUUUCUUUCCUAUGCCUAUCUAGCUAGCUUUACAGGGAGAGAGGCUUUAUUAAUGCUAAUUAUCAGUCUGUUUUUGACUGAUUUUUUUACUUCUAUUUUCAGUCCUUAUCUCUCUCUGUUUUUCUUAAUAUGUUUCUAGUGUGACCAGGAUACUUCCUAGGAUGCAUGGAUUAUAGAGACUUAGCUACUGUAUACUCCUAUCCCUAUAGCAGAUCACAAUAAAGCUUAAUUAUAAGGGGGAGUGAGGUUAUCUUUUUUACUACCUCUUGAUCUAUACUACCCUGGGCUGGCAUAGGAUUGUAGGUUCACUUGUAUAUACUUUGUUCAAUUAGGGUCUCUGACCAUAUUAUUUCUAAUAGCCAGGUUCUAUAUUUGGAACAUCGCGCUAUACAUAGAUAUAUUUUUUCCAGUCAAUGCAGUAAGUUUCAUUCAUAUAAUUGAGACGGUCUGCAUAUUUCUUUGUUCUUGAGGUUUUUAUUCAGUUUAUACACGUAUAAACACUUUUCAAGAUAUUCCAAUUCUGAUCAAUUAAUGUUUUAAAGGCAGAGCUGGUUGUAUGGAAUUUCAUGGGGAAUAUCAUUCUAGAUGAAGCUUUAUCCGUCUUUAUAUUCUCCCUGGUUUCCUGAUACUUUUAUUUAGCCUUAUCCAAGGCCCGAUUGAGUACAUUCCUUUUGUAACAUUGUGCGACAAAUCUAUCAUACAUCAUUUGUAACUGUUCAGUCCGUUGAGCGUCAACAGAGUUGAUUCUGAAAACUCGAAGGAACGGAGAUAACGACAAUGUAUCUUUGAGGUGUUUAGGGUGAGCGCUGCAGAAUUGUAUUUCUGUUCGUUGGUUUUGUAUAUAAUUUAUGUUCCAGUUUUCUUUCAUUCAAUGAUAAUUCUAUGUCAAGGAAUUUUACGCUUUUGGAGUCAAUCUCAGAAGUGACUUUGACUGGUGUUGGUAGAUUAUUAAUAUAAUCCACAAAUGUCUGAGCCUCACUUUCUGUGCCGUUCCAUAAGAUCAGAAUAUCAUCUAUAAAGCGAUAAUAUUUCACAAUCGGAUGUUUAAACUGUUGUAAGAUAUAUUUCUCCUCAAAGGCAUAGAUAAAUGUGUUGGCAUACACCAGGGCCAUUGCUGCCCCCCUCGAGGUACCGGAGAAAUGUAGGUACCAGCUGGUCUGGAAACGAAAAUAAUUACAUUGUAAAGUCAACUGUAGAAGUUCCAGGACAAAUUUAAUCGCUGGACCUUGGUAGACCGGAGAGUUGGAAAGAUGAUGAUUCAUUGACUCAACAUCAUCUUCAUGGGGUAUGAUGGUGUAUAGACUAUUUACAUCCAUUGUUAUUAACACACCAUCAAACUCCCCUACUGUCUUAAGAUCCAUAGAGGAGGUUUCCCAUGUCCUUAAUGCAGGUGGGAAUUGUCAUCACUGGUUCCCACCUGGUUAUUUGAAUAAGAAAUUAAGAUAUUUAGCGAUCGGUUCAAGGAUACCAUCCGCCGUUGACACUAUAGGAUGCCCCAGGGGGUCCUUUAGACUUUUAUGGAUCUUUGGAAGUGCAUAUAUUAUUGGGGUUUGAGGGUUCUUCUUUUGUAAAAAUUGGAAUAGAUUGAGAUUGAUAUGGUCCGCUCUUAGUCCAAGUAAUAAAGUAUCUUACAUUUUUCAUGCGAUUCUCAAUGUGGGAUCAUGUUCCAGAAACUGAUAUGGGUUACGAUCCUGAAGUUGUCUCAUCGCCCUUAUGUGUGGGAUCCAUAGAAAGGGCUUUAAUCAAUUGACGUUCUUCUUUAGAUAUAUUUGAAUUCUGUGGUCUAUGUUCGCGUAGGAUUUACUCUGUCUAUUGUCUAUCUUUUGUCUCUUAAAUUUUAUAAGCUGGUUCUUAUACUGUGAAUUUAGCAACAAGGCAUAUUCAAUUUCCAGGGCUUGGAUCUUAUUCCGGAUCUCCAAAAAGUCUUCCUUUACAUCUUGAAUUGUAAUUAACAUAAGAUCUAAGGAGCACUUAUUAAGUAUGGACAUCCAAUCUUUACAUACCUUCGAUUUUGUUCUUCCAAUAUAUAUAUAUAUAUAUAUCUAUAUAUAUAUAUUUUAUAUUUAUAUAUAACGUCAUACUAAGUGUAUUUUCUUAAUAUAUACAUACAGUAUAUUAAAAUAAAAAUACACUUAUAAUUACAUUACACAUAUAAUAUAUAUAAUAACUAUAUAUAGUAUAUUAUAAAAUAUAAAUAAGUUAAUAAAAAUAAAUGGAAAAAUUUAAAAACAAUGAAAAAAUUUAAUAAAUGAUAUAUAUAAUUUUAUUCUAACUGUAUUUUGAUUAUAUAUUUAUAUCAAAACACUUAGAAUUAAAUUAUAUAUCUAUGUAUAUAUAAAUAAGUAAAAAUACGAAAUAUAUAUACAUAUUUUUAUAUUUGAAGUCUACGUGUAUAUUCAUGAAAUUAUUUAUGUAAUUAUGUAUAUGGACAUAUGUAUAUUUAAAUUCUACGUGCAUAUUUAUGUAAUAUUUUUACAAAAGUAAUUUUAUUGAUUGCAAUUUUGGGGGCCUGUCUGACAACCCAGGCUGAAAGUCCAGAGAAUGUAAUUUGCUAGCACCUUAUUUAACCCCAGUAACUUUCCAAGACACCCUAAAACCUGUACAUGGGGAAUCAUGUUUUACUCAGGAGACUUCACUAAACACAAAUUUCAAAACAGUAAAAAACAUAUCACAGUGAUAAAAUUGUCAGUGAAAGUGACUUUUUUGCAUUUUUCACACACAAAUGGCACUUUCACCGAUGAUAUUGUUGUGAUACGUUUUACUGGUUUGAAACACUAAUAUUUGUGUUCAGCAAAGUCUCCCAGGUACAACAAUUUCCCCAUGUACUGGUUUUAUAGUGUUUUUGAAAGUUAUAGGGUCAAAUAUAAGGCUUGAUUUUCCAUUAUUUCACAUUGAAAUUUGUAAGAUUGGUUAUGUUGCCUUUGAGAACUUAUGGUAGCCCAGGAAUGAGAAUUACCCACAUGAUGGCAUACCAUUUGCAAAAGGAGACAACCCAAUGUAUUGCAAAUGGGGUAUGUUCAGUCUUUUUUAGUAGCCACUUACUCACAAACAAUGACCAAAGUUAGCGUUCAUAAUAGUUUUUUGCAUUUUUAUCACACAAAUAUAAAUGCUAACUUUGGCCAGUCACCUAAAAUGAUCUCUACCUUGCUAAAGAAAAACUCGACAUUCUUUCCUUCUAGUUUCAAAUCUGGUCCUUUAGAGGUUUUCGAGAAACUAGUUACAAAAGAUUUAGAAAAAAUCCAUAAAAAUAAAUUUGAUCAAGAUAAUCUCACACAAUUAGAACGUAACGCAUUGCAACAACUACAAAGAGACGAAAAUAUUAUCAUAAAACCUGCAGAUAAAGGGGGAGGUAUAGUUAUUUUAACUAAGUACAUGUACACAAAAGAAGCCAUGAGACAGCUUAAUGACACCAUUGUUUAUGAAAAACUAACACAAGAUCCUACCUCCAAAAUUCAACAGAUUUUAACCUCUUUCUUAAUUAAUGGUUGUGAUCAAAACAUUUUAAGUAAACAGGAAUUUGAAUAUUUAAAUGUUUCCCACCCCAUAAUUCCCGUUAUUUAUUUUUUACCGCAAAUUCAUAAAAAUAUUACAAACCCUCCAGGUAGGCCCAUUGUUUCAGGCAUUAAUUGCAUUUUAUCUAAUUUAUCUGAAUAUCUAGAUAUCCUUUUACAGCCCUCAGUGAAGUGUAUGAAGUUAUACCUAAAAGACUAUGACAUUACUUUUAAACAAUUUUAUAUAGAAAAAUACAUACCUCUUAGUUACAUGCGACGUACAAUCUUUAUACACAAUCAUCCCUCAUGACAAAGGGUGUUCAGCAGUUGAAAAUAUUUUAAGAGCCGAAAAAAAUAUUCCAGAUCAACAAAUAGAUUUUAUUAUUCAAGGCAUCAAAAUUAUUUUAAAUAAUAAUUACUUUUGGUUUUUAGAUUCUUUUUAUUUACAAAAACAGGGCACUACUAUGGGGACCAUGUUUGCCCCCAGUUAUGCCAACCUUUUUAUGGCAGAUUGGGAAUCUACUGCCAUUCUGGGAGGGCAUGACUGGCAGGCAAACCUGGUCACAUAUUUUAGAUAUAUAGAUGAUUUGUUUUUUAUCUGGGAUGGUUCAGAGGACUCUCUGCAUCAGUUUUUACAGUAAUAAAAUCGAAAUGAUAAAGGUACUGUCCUAAUUUGGGAGUAUAGUAAAUCCUCCAUCCAUUUUUUUAGAUUUAGACAUUUUUAUUAAGAAUGAACAAAUUAACUUUUUUUUUUUUAAAGUAUGUACGAACAAUGUUAUUGAUGUGUCCAGCUGCCAUCAUAAGCCCUGGCUUCAAGGCAUACCCAAAAGUCAGUUUCUUUGUUUACGAAGAAACUGCUCCCUCACACAAGACUUUGAGGAACAGUCUCAAUUAAUGUCCAACAAAUUUUCCCCAAAAAACUACUCUAGGAAUAAUUUAGACCAAAUGUUAAAAAAUAUCAGUGAAAAAAAUAGAUCUGAAUUAUUAGAAUACAAAAGAAAUAAAGAUACUAAAACCGCUCCAGUAUUGCCAAUCAUUUUCGACUUCAAUAACAAAAGUAAUGUUAUGAAGAUUAUAAAGAAACAUUGGCAUAUAUUAACACAGGAUGAGACUCUAGCUGGAAUUAUCCCUGAGAAACCACAUGUUCUAUUUAGAGGGGCACCCAGCUUUAAGUCUAUCCUUACAAGAAAUUCCACGAAACAAAAAUAUAGCACUUUUCCCCCAGUCCUUCUACCUUUUUAACUAGACCUAGCGUUUUUUUUAGAUGCAAUAGGUGCAUAGUAUACAAAUGCCCUAGUGACACCAUUAAAUCUAAAACUACUUCUUUUGUAUCAACAUCCACACAGAAAACAUAUCAGAUAAAACAUUUUAUUCACUGUAACACAAAAAAUGUAAUUUAUCUUCUGGAAUGUCCGUGUGGGUUUCAAUAUGUUGGUAUGACCACUAGAGAUCUAAAAACCAGAUUAGCUGAACACUGUAGAAAUAUUCUAAAAGGUUAUGAGAAUCACUCAGUGUCAAAACAUUUUCUACAGCAUGGAAAGAAUCCAAGACACCUCAAAUGCAUUGGCAUAGACAUUUGCAAUGUCCCAUGGAGAUGUGGAGACAUCAAAAAAGUUUUGGGCAAAAAAGAAAUGGAAUGGGCUUAUAACCUAAAAACCCUCGCCCCUACAGGGCUUAAUAUAGAUUUUGAUCUUUUAAAUUUUUUUCGAUUCUCUUAACCUUUUAGCUGUAUAUUUUACUUAUUUUUAUCAUACGCUUUUAUGCUUUACAGUAUUAUCGGUUUUAUAAUUGUACUUUUUAUUUAUAUUUAUGUUUAUAUGUACUGUUCUUUUAAAAUAUCCAACUUCCAUUAUUUAGUAGACAUGUUGCUAGAUUAGCCAUAUGUUUACUAAGCAAUUUGUUAUGUUUGGUGCUUUUUCCUUUUUUUCUCUGUAUGGGCUUUACACAUUUAUUUUUAUUUGUUAGGUUUUUGUUUCUAUGUGCAUCUACUAAAAUAUCUUAAUAAGUGCCCAUUUUGGGCUUUGAACUUGUGCCAUGUGCAGGCUGAUGCUGGUUUGGCUGUCUGCCUGCUUUUGCAGGCAGACAGCCUGAUUAUGGUUUCCCUGCCGUUUACUUUUACGAUCCAUCGAUCCUCCCAGACAGCCCACCCCUUCCACGUCAUCCUAGGCUAAGUGGAACGCAUGCGUUCCAUUUGGCAUCACGUGACGCGGAAGUGUUUUUAGCAGCGCGUCAUGUGAUCGCAUUUUAAUUUCUAUCUUACACAUUUUAAACCCUCGUUUUGCAGUUCCAAUAGCUGUACCUACUUUAUAUUAACCAUGUUUAUACAAUACUAUGUUUUAAUUGCCGUUUUUAAUUUGUACUAUGCUAAUGAGAUCCCGAUGAUGUCACUAUGGCGGGAAAUUCAAAUUUCAAUAGUAUUAUUGUAUCCUAUAUAAACCCAUGUAUGUCAGGUUGUGUUCUUUUUACUAUUAUCUACUUGAAGAAGCCUUUUUAGGCGAAACGCGUUUAGAUACCGUUUUACCACUUUAUAAUAAAGAAAUUAUUUUUGGCAUAAAUUAUUUCAUUGCCACUUUUUCUUUUUUACCUGACUACAUCAAUAUUGCAUACCCUAUAAGAAGCAUAAAGAAUCCACAGGUGGGGAUUAUACCACCCAAACGCUUACACUGAGCAGUACAAGCCUGCUCUAAACAAUGUGAGUAAUAUAGUUUAUACUUUUAUAAAAUCUUUUAUUCAUAAAACAGAGAACACUAUUUUAUCCUUUUACUUCUGGGUCGAACAAUACCAAUAUUGGACGCUGAACCUGUGCCAUAUAUCUGCCAAUCAAGUAUUACCUCAUAUAUCCUUGAGUGGGGAUUAUUCCACUUCACGCGUGCAAUAUCAGAGCUGGAUUUUAGCUCUGUAAAGUGUGAGUAAUACUAUUAUUACUACCUUAUAAUUUUAUUCACCUAUAUACUGUGGCAUUGGAGUCCUGUUCUUGUCUUCUUUUUUUUUUGCAUAUGCUUCACUGAAUUCCAAUUAUACAACCGUGAAGAUUUACUUCAUUUUAUAUGUAAGAAGUGCUACUUCUACACGUGGAUUCUAUCAUCUUGGACUUAUGAUAAGUUAUUUGGACUACUAUUAAUUUAUUUUAUAUUAUCAUCAUUUUAUUAUAUGUUUUAGGCACACCCUUUUUCUGUUGUGUGUUUUCUUGUGUUUUAUCUCAUUGUUAGGGGAUUAGAGGGGACUCCCCUUUGAGGUGUGCAGCCGUUUUACUAUAUUUCUCUGUGGCAGUUUAGCGCUGAUUUUUCUCUUUGUCUCUUCUAACUUUGGCCAGUGUUUGUGACUAAGUGGCUACUAAAAAAGACUGGACAUACUCCAUAUUGAAUACCCUGGGUUGUCUACAUUAGAAAAAUAUGUACAUGUGAGAUGUGAUGCAAAUAUUUGUUACAGAGAACAGUGUUACAAUGUCACCAUUAAUACAUUUUUUAAAUAUAUAUUUUGAAACAGCAAUGUCCUACUUGUACUUAGAGCCCUAUAACUCGCAAAAAAAGAAGCUAAGAACAUGUUAACACUGGGUAUUUCUAAUCUCAGGACAAAAUUGAUUACCUGUUUAGCACGGGUGUUUUUUGGCAGUUGUAGAUGCGUAACAGAAUUUGGGGGUCAAAGUUAGAAAAGGUGUGUUUUUUUUUUUUUUUUAAAUGUUUUCAUAUUUUAUAUUUUUUGAGUAACAGGAAAAUUACAGCUAAACACAAACACCACAGAAAUUUAAAAACAGCCCUGAUCCUUAACGGUAAGAAAUUUGAAAAACGGUCUGGUCACUAAGAGGUUAGAAUCUCUGUCACUACUCAGUAUUUCAACUGUAUGAAAUACCAAUGCUGACUGUGUUGAAAAUUCAUUAAUAUUCCAACAAAAUCCAAACAGCCCAUUAGACAAAGUAUUACUUUGUUUUAUGGUAAAGCCUGAGCUUGGAUAACGCUGGAUUACCGAGUCUGCAGUUAAAAUACAAAUAUAAAAAUAUAUACAAACACCAUAGUUUAAUUUUAGAGGGGAACUGGUGGCAUUAAGUUCCCCCUUAACCUAAACUUCCCAAUGUACAUAUUUGAUCAAAUCCCAGAAAGGGGAACACCAAAUGAACUCAACAUCACCCUCCUAUAUUAAAUAAAGCUGCAGUCCCUUUAUUUUUUCAUGUAAAAAUACAUAAACUGGAGAACAAGAGAUUACCACCACAUUAGAAAACUACUACCUUCAACUGCUAAAUGCAUGAAAUUGGUAAAGGUACUGUAAUUUUAUUUAUCUUCGCAGGUGUUCCUUUGGCGUUCCACAUGUGGGGUCUGACAGAUAUGUACAUCUGAAAUCCUGAGGCUGACAAAACGUAAAGUUCUACUAUCAACUUUUCUUCGGCCAUCACAUGUGAUGGGUUUUAGGAUUUCACAUGCUCCUGACACAGUCCCUGGGAAAUGAUUUGCCAGGAGCUGAAGAAGAUUUCCAGGAAGAAGAUGGCAGCGGACGUGAGAUUCAGACAAGUUAACCUACCUUCCACUGCAACUCGCAGCCAGGCGAGCCUAACCAGAGAUGUCACUUUCAGGGGUCUUUGCUAAAUAUAUACUGCUCAGUAUAGUAGGUAUCACCAUUAACAAUGUCAUAGUCUCCACUUAUACAAGCC
RNAcentral lists this long non-coding RNA (72900 nucleotides) under Pelobates cultripes (western spadefoot toad). Lineage: Eukaryota; Metazoa; Chordata; Amphibia; Anura; Pelobatidae. The record is from RNAcentral.